Molecule: long non-coding RNA, 80296 nt
Filed under: Malus domestica (apple)
Lineage: Eukaryota; Viridiplantae; Streptophyta; Magnoliopsida; Rosales; Rosaceae
Source: RNAcentral
UUUUUUUUUUUUUUUGGUAUUACGGUGGGAUGGCAUCACCUUGAUGCUUUUGGACUACCUAUGCAGCCCCUGUUGGGUUUGCUACUUCACAACCACGGGCCUGCAACCCAAGUUUCUUGGUCCACAGCUUGCAAGCCUAGCUUGCUGGGCCCCCGUGUCACUGCUUGCAACAAACCGAAGUCAACCCAUGCGGCUAGGGCUUGCCGCGCCAAACCCAAAAGCCGACAACCUUGCUGGGCCUUGCCCCAUGCCAUCUCCCUCGGCCCAAACUGAAACCCAUUUGUGGCUAGGGUUUUCUCGCACCCACCGUGGCCUGUAGCCCACUCCCAAGGUCCUUUUGGACCUUGCCUUUUACUCAAGGCACCCAACCCGAGCCCAAUUAUUUAUUAGGGCUAUAUUUUCGACCCAAUAAUAUUAUUUUAAUAUUAUUUAGCUUCUAUAAUCGACUCCGUAUGGCCUGAUUUAUUGAAUUAAUUAAAAGUGCCUGCGGUCCAUUAAUUUGAUAAUAAAUCCAAAAUUAUUGACCUGAAGAUCACUUUUGGACAUUAAGGAUUCAAUAAUUUAUAUUUAUACUUUAAAUCGUCACAUACUUUCGUAGUAACGAAGCUCUCACACUUGAGUUCCCGAAGAACCUAAAAUUCACUAUAUUCAAAUUAGUUUAUUGCAUUCUAUGUUUCUUGCAAGAACCUCUCAUUAUGAACUAAUUGUUCAUACAACUAAAUUGAACCUGUAGUUUCAAAUUUAGUGCCUUUGAAACCCGAAGUUUUCAUUUAAAACAUACCACAUGAAACCUGUAGUUUUCAUGCAUAAAUUAAACCAAUACAUGUCUAUAGAACCUGUAUGUUCUACGAUAUAUGUCUAUGGCUUACCAUAUGACUAAUCAUUUUUUUUCCUCAAUUUUAGGGACAUGUCGAACUUGAACAAGCUUGAUUUCUCCGCUCUAGAAGUCUUUGGAAGGAACUAUCUGAAGUGGGUUCAAGAUGUGAAGCUCCAUAUAAUUGCAAAGGGUAUUAAAGCCACCAUCGAGGCACCUAUCGCCGACAAACCUAUUAACGAAGCUCAAAAGGCUACUGCAAUGAUCUUCAUUCAAAGACACAUACAUGAUGCACUGCAGACUGAGUAUCUAGCUGAGGAAGACCCACGCACCCUCUGGCUUGCUCUGACUGACCGUUUCGAUCACCAGAAAGACAUAUAAUUGCCUGAAGCAAGACACGACUGACAGCAUCUUCGCUUAUAGGACUUUAAGUCUGUGAAUGAAUACAACUCUGAAGUUUGUAGAAUCUGUUCAUUGUUGAAGAUCUGCAAAGUGGAACUCAUGGAAUUGGAUCUCCUGGAGAAUACCUAUUCGACCUUUCAUGCCAUCAAUAUUGUCCUGUAGCAACAAAACAGGCACAUAAAUUCACCAAGUUUUUGGAUUUGAUCUUUGUUUUACUUUUCGUUGAAAAGUAGAACCAGCUUUUGAUGAAGAAUCAUCAAGCUCGACCCACUGGCUUGAACGCUGUGCCUGAAGUGCAGGCGACCAAUUCUAGUAGCCAUAAACGACGAAAGAAUUGUUGUAGCAGUGGAAAUAGGCGGCAAGCCCAACCACGGGCCCAAGGUCAAUAGAGUGCCGCACAUAAGGGAAGAAAUGUGACCCAACAGCGUCCACCACUCGCCCCUAAGGCCCCAAACUCCAAGAACAAGGGCAAAGCUCUCAUUUAGCCUGCUUCUACUAUACUGGACAUGUGAUAUCAUUGUGGAUCAAAGGAUCAUUGGUCACACGUAUGCCGAGCUUCCCUUGAGGCUAUUGCCAAGUAUUAUUCCCAUCGUGAGUCUAGCUUUACACAUAUGGAUCAUCCGGAAGAUGCAACUACAUCAAUGGAGUUACCGGAUUUUCAAGAGGCAUCAAUGCCUAUGGAUGAAUAAAUUAGACAUGUUUUUAGGGCUUUUACUUCUAGUGGCCGAACCCACUAGGAGUGGCCGGCCUUACCCCUUAUUUUGCUAGGUUUAUGGUUUAAUUUUGAACAAUUUUUCUAAGUAUUUGGAAUAAUUUGUUUGGUUUUGGUUUGUUUUGAAUUAUGGAUUGUUAUUUGAAUGGAUAUUAUUUUCUUGAAUUGCUUAAUUGAAUGAAUGGACUUAUAUUUAUCCAUGUGACCAAUUCAAUCAAUUUAUUUCUAGGUAUGUCUAGUGGGAAAGUUAGUUGUCUAGCAGAUAGUGUAACCACGCACACCAUCUUGCGUGAACGAAACUAUUUUACUAACUUAAUACCCAAGAAAGCUCAUUUGACAACUCUCUCAGGCUCAUCUAACCUGAUUGAAGGAUAUGGAAAGGCACAUAUCAUGUUGUCUAAUGGUACAAUUUUAACAAUUAAGAAGGCACUCUAUUCUCCACGUUUUGGAAGAACGUUGCUGUGUUUUAGAGAUAUUCGAGAUAAUCAAUAUCAUAUUGAAACCAUUGAAGAUAAUGGUUCUGAAUUUCUUUGUAUUACUUCAUACAAAUAUGGCCAAAAACGUAUUCACGAAAAGUUGGAAUGUCUGCCGAGUGGGUUAUACAUCACAACCAUUCACAGCAUAGAAGCCCAUAAUGUGGUUGGCCCUAUACUUGAGUUCUAGGACAUUUUGUUGCUUUGGCAUGACCGUUUGGGACAUCCUGGACGUGACAUGAUGCGCCGUAUCCUCAAAUCUUCACACAAGCAUAAGUUAAAUCCAUAUGUUGGACUCCUACCAUUCAAAGCGUGUUCUUUAGGAAAGUUGAAUACUCAACCUUCAUAUACAAAGAUUAUUCACGACCCCUCUAAGUUUCUUAAGAGGAUUUAAGGGGACAUUUGUGGACCUAUCCAACCAACAUGCGGACCAUUUAGAUACUUUAUGGUGUUGGUUGAUGCAUCGACAUGAUGGUCACAUGUUUGCUUAUUGUCCACACGCAACGCCAUGUUUGUUAAACUCCUAGCUUAAAUCAUUAAGCUAAGGGUUCACCACCCUGAUUAUCCGAUUAAGUCGAUUCGACAGGAUAACGUUGGAAAGUUUACGUCAUAGACUUUUGAUGAUUAUUGCAUGUUAGUAGGGAUUGAAGUGGAACAUCCUAUACCCCAUGUUCACACCUAAAACGGCCUGGCAGAAGCUUUCAUAAAACGCCUUCAAUUGAUAGCUCAGACUUUGGUUAUGAGAACCAAACUGCCGAUAUCUGCUUAGGGCUAUGCAAUAUUGCAUGCAGCUUUGUUGGUCCACUUGAGGCCUACCGUUACAGUUGGCUACUAGAUAUGAGCCUGAUGUCUCCCAUUUACUGGUGUUUGGGUGCGCCAUUUAUGUGCCAGUAACGCCGUCGCUACAUACCAAAAUGGGUCCUCAGAGAAAAAUGGGAAUCUAUGUCGGUUAUGAUUCGCCAUCAAUUGUUCGUUACUUAGAACCCUUGACAGGAGAUCUCUUUACCGCACGUUUUACGGAUUGUCACUUUGAUGAGACAGUCUUCCCGUCAUUAUGGGAGAUAAGCAUGCUAACAUUCUUGUAGAACACUACGAAUUGUCGUGGUAUGCUUCCACUGUGUCUCAUUUUGAUCCCCGCACUGCCCAGUCUGAAACUGAGGUGCAACAAAUUAUAGAUCUUCAGAGCAUUGCUCAAAGCACGUCAAAUGCUUUUAAUGGAGUGACGACUGGUUCGACCAUGACUUGGGUGGUGGAAUGAACUUCAGUCGCUUAAUCUAUUAGAGUGUUUUGCUGCAUUCCCGUCAAGGCCUAGACGGCAGGAGAAGAGAAAUGGACACUAGGAGUAGUUGCUCAUGUGGUUUGACUUGAAAUAAUGUGUAUCUCCUACUCUCUCUUCUUUGGCUUCUUUUUUUAUACGCUUCUGGGGCCGGGUAAUGAUGUCAGUUGUUUUGACCUCUAGGUGAGGCCGUUUGCUCAGUUUGGUUGGAGCGGUAGGGGUUACUGCUAAAGUUGGUCCGGUCGAGGGAGGUGCAACGGUCGCGGCCUUCUUGGGAGGAGGGUGUUUUUUCUUCUUAACCAUAACCAUUGCGACCACAUCGGCCCGUUUCAUUAACCAACCACUUAGAAAAAACUAAGUAUGAGUCAGAACAAAGUUGCAUAGACAAAGCUAAGGGGUGACAAGGAAAUGAAGAGAUAUGUACCUUGGGCCAAUUCUUUGGAUUUUGGGGCGAGAGUCUUUUAAGGCCGAUCGCCAAAGAGUUUCUUCGAAGUUUCCUCAGCCGUAUCACCGAAGAAAUCCUUCAUAUAAGUAUCCCACCAAUUGGCAAAUGUGCUGGUACAAUGGGUUUCUAGGGUGUUCGGUCGAAGUUGAAAUUUUAAGCAUCGCUCUUGGAACUCCUUCUCGGCAUUGUUGCACUCCCUCUUUGAGGAGCCAAAGAAGCAUUCUCAACUCAAGAGAGAACGAGAAAUAAGGAGUGGUAGUGCAUAGUCCUGAAGAAAACCCAAUUGACGAACUAGGAAGUUAGGAUGAUAAAUUUCCCAGCUAGCCCACCGAGUGUCGCAACCAAAAAGGCGAAGGAUCCCUAAGACUAUCGUAGGUCAGCCUCUUUUGCUUCAUCCCAAGUCGAGGUUAAGAGUGUGAUGGACGACGGGUAUUUUUGGUAGGAAUUCAUCGUUUGAAAGGUUUUCUAGGCCGAAGAAAUACUUGAAGAUUCAUUCGGCUGAGUGAGUAGGAAAUGAGCGCAAGUCCAGUUGUAGACCCACUGCUUUGGAAUAAUUGAAGCUUGGGAUUUUUGGCCUUAAUGUUGGGAAAUAAACUUGUGGCCAGAAUUGGAAAACCCAGAGUGGGCCAUUCUGGUGUGGGUCGAUUUUUCCAACAUAAGCCUCGGCCGAGCAUAUGUCAAGGUUAGCAAGGACGGCCGGGCUAAGGGUCAAGACAUAACCACUAGCUAGGGCUUCGACCACUGACAUGUUUUCGGCCAGGCAUUUGUUGGAUUUGGUACAGAAGAUAAACUUGUUAUACCAGUAAAACAGGAAGGCUUCGUGCUCUCAUUUCUUCAAAGUUUCUCCUUCCGAACCGGCGAAAUGGGUGAUCAGAGUGUUAUAGUUAAUGAAAUUAUUGUGCAAUUUUUGCACUUCUUCUUUCGACGGCCUCGGGUUCUUUAACAGAACUUUGACGACCCGCUCGUUGCAGAUUGCCUUCAGAUCCAGGUCAAAUUUGUACCCAAAUAGAGCAACGUCGAUUGGAAGACCGAAAUGAGAGGUGUCUAGUAUGGCCGUGAUGUCCAACAUAGUUGGACCGAUGGGGCCGAGAAGAAGGAUCAUGGUGUUGAUGGCUGAACACCAAAAGCUCAGGGUAGGCAUCAGGAGUUCUCGAUCUAAGACGAUUUCAAAGGUUGAGAGCUUGAUGGCAUCAAAGAUACCGAGGGUUUUCCACUCGCCACCAUAGUGUGGUUCCAUUCGAGUAACCCAAGUAGCUCAGGCCGCUGUGGUCGAGGGCCAGGCUGUUUGGGGUCUAGUCGAUUCCCACUUCGGCUAGUCGUAACCUUAGAGCAAGAGUUUGCAAUGGUCUUUCAACAUAUGGGUGAUGGUUUCUGGGAUGAUGUCCUUAAAAAGGGGUCCCAAAGUCUGGUGAAGGGUUGAUUCAUCUUCAGAACGGAUCACUUUAAUGGCGUUCCGAUUGAUAAUGUCUUGGCAUUUGGUGUACUCCUCAACAAGCUUAGUGAUGAAAGUGUUGGCAGCCAUUGAUGAAAGCUGGGGGGUUUUCUGGGUUUUGAAAGAUUGUUUUCUGGGUUGGAAGCAAAUGGUAGGAGAUUCUGGAAUUAAAAAGGAGUUUUUGAAGAUUUGUAAACGUAAGGAAAAAAUGAGUAAGGAUAAAUUGAGUAUUUAUAGGUGUUUGAGAAGGGAGACCUACAGUUCAAUUUUGAAAAUAAGGGGUAAAUCCGACCGAAAAGUUUGUAAACAUGGAAAAUAUUUAAAGAACCCAGGUGAAGAGGCCGAAAAGCUCACGGUUUGAGGUGACAUGAUGGUGAGUUUAAAUGGUAAGGAGACGCUUCGGUAUCUGCACGUUUCAAAUAUCAUCAUUGAAGGGCAAACGUAUUAAAGAGAUGCUAUGUGGCAGGGAAUUUGACAGGAUUGAGAUGGUGCAAUCGUGCCUUAGAAAUGCGCCUGAUUGGUUGAAAUAUUCGAAGAAGGCCGCGUGUCUUUCAAGAAUAUGCUAAGGGUGUAUUUCGCUUCUUUAAGGCCGAAGAUUGACUAGGAAUUAUAGGCAAAAGACCUCAGAAGCGAGGGAGCAAUAUUUGGGGCCAAAAUGAUAAUUUGGGCUGAGCUUAGAGUCUUUUUUGACCCAGUACCUUCAUUGAGAAUUUUGUUAUAGGCCUUUGUUAGUUGUCAUGGGCCGUCUAGUUAGGAUCAGCCAAAUUGUAUUCCGAUGAGGGUUAGUUCGAAUAAAGAUGCAAUAAUCGAAACCUAGCACAAUGAGGAGUUUUGAGGCUAAUGAUGAUGAAAGUUAGGGAUGAAUCUUGUUUGAUAAAAGAGCUUGGUUCAAAGUCCUAGUAGGAUUAGGAUUGGCCAAGACCGAGUUAGAUUAGAAUGAGGAGUUCUAAUCUGAGUACAAUUGUAGCUUGGCUAUGAAGAAAUUUGCUACUAUAAAUAGAUGAGGGAGUGCAUCAGUUAAGCCCCCUCCAAUUCAACACACAAAUUGCCCUGCGCAAACCUCUCAAACACCUUGAGAUUUUUAUUUUCUUUUUUCGCUAAUACAUCUUCAGUUUGGAUAAACAACACUGUGAAGGUAACCGACAACAUCUUCAGUUUGGAUAAACAAUACUGGAGUCGUAGAAUCAGUCGAUCAAGGAGCACCUUCAGUUUGGAUAAACAACACUGCUUCUCGACCGACUGGUUAUUUAUCCAAGUCUCGAUCAGCAAGGAUUUCUAAAUCCCUGUUGGUAGAGGUCAUCUCAUUAGCCUUCUCAGCGAAGUGAGGUGUUAUUAGGUUACUACAUUCGGCACAUUGAAAGCCGAAUUUGAUAUUGAACUUCACAGAACUAGCAGCCUUGUCUUUAGGCUUUAGAACCCGAAGGCUGAGACGUGUUUCUUCUUUGGCCGCAGUUGCAAGAUCAAGAAAUCAGCAGCGCACCCAAUGCAACAUCGACACAUUUUACUCCCCAGCCAAGCUCACCUGACGAGUUGGCAUGCCCCGCACACAACUGAAUGACGUAGUUAGCUUAUUAAUUACUCGGCAUGCGCGCCAUGUAGGCUUGGUAGUUUUUAGGUUCAACACUAAUAUACUCACUUUUUUAUUUGACUCAAUCAAAAGAUGUAAUGUCUUCCUUGUUUUUUAAAGUUAAAAAAAAAAAAAAAUUAUAUGCCUAUUAUUUUUAAAAACAAUAAAACAUAUGUUAAAUAUUAUUGGGCCAAAAUGAAAAUGUGAGUAUCCAGGAUACUCACUAAUGACUACCUAAGUAUUAUCUGUACUAAAAUACAGAUUAGAUGUGGACCUUGAAUAUUGGUAUAAUAAUUUAUAACUUUUAACCUUGGUUUUCUUCUUGAUGUUGGUGUGUAGAAGAUGAUAGACAUAAUUUUGGUGAGAAUAUUUGACAUUAAAAAUACGUUUUCCGUGAAGAAAUUAAAUAGUACAAAAAGUUUCAAUCAAUCAGUUAGGUAUUUAGAAACAGUACCUACCUGGAAGGAACAUAUCUAUAUAUUGGUUUUGCUUCCAAGAUUUCUUUCAGUUUAAUUUCCUACUUGAUUUUGAGAAAUUCGUAAAGAAUAGGGUUUCAAAAAUCUCAGACCAAGGACAACCAACCACCUCUCAUUUUAGAAGGAUAAUCCAAUUUUUCUAAACAUGCAUGACUUGCCAUAUAUGCAAACUUGCAAAUUAUGUUCUUUGCUUGUUCUGUAUGACUUGUGGACCACUUCUCAGUCAAAGACUAACGCGUAAUACUACAACAACAACAACAAAGCCUUUUUCCACUAAGUGGGGUCGGCUAUAUGAAUCCUAGAACGCCAUUGCGCUCAGUUAUGUGUCAUGUCAUCCGUUAGAUCCAAGUACUCUAAGUUUUUUCUUAGGGUCUCUUCUCCUCAACCCUUUCGGCCUUGAACCUCUGUCCCGUAGUCACAUCUUCGAACUGGAGUGUCAGUAGGCUUUCUUUGCACAUGUCCAAACCACCGUAACCAGUUUUCUCUCAUCUUUCCUUCAAUUUCGGUUACUCCUACUUUACCUCGGAUAUCUUUAUUCCUAAUCUUAUCCUUUCUCAUGUGCUCACACAUCCAACGAAGCAUCCUCAUCUCCGCUACACCCAUUUUAUGUACGUGUUGAUGCUUCACCGCCCAACAUUCUGUGCUAUACAGCAUCGCCGGCCUUAUUGCCGUCCUAUAAAAUUUUCCCUUGAGGUUCAGUGGCAUAUAGCGGUCACACAGCAUGCCGGAUGCACUCUUCCACUUCAUCCAUCCAGCUUGUAUUCUAUGGUUGAGGUCUCCAUCUGAUUCUCCAUUUUUUGCAAGAUAGAUCAUAGGUAGCGAAAGCGGUCACUCUUUGGUAUUUCCUGAUCUCCAAUCCUUACCCCUAACUUAUUUUGGCCUCCAUUUGCACUGAACUUGCACUCCAUAUAUUCUGUCUUUGAUCGGCUUAGGCAAAGACCUUUAGAUUCCAACACUUUUCUCCAAAGGUUAAGCUUCGCAUUUACCCUUUCCUGAGUUUCAUCUAUCAACACUAUAUCGUCUGGGAGAAGCAUACACCAAGGAAUAUCAUCUUGAAUAUGUCUUGUUAACUCAUCCAUUACCAAUGCAAAAGGUAAAGACUUAAGGAUGAGCCUUGAUGUAACCCUACAGUUAUGGGGAAGCUUUCGGUUUGUCCUUCAUGAGUUCUUAUGGCAGUCGUUGCUCCAUCAUACAUAUCCUUUAUAGCUUGGAUAUAUGCUACUCGUACUCCUUUCUUCUCUAAAAUCCUCAAAAGAAUGUCUCUUGGGACCCUAUCAUACGCUUUUUCCAAAUCUAUAAAGACCAUGUGUAAAUCCUUUUUCCCAUCUCUAUAUCUUUUUCGUAAGAGAUAGAUUGCCUCCAUGAUUGAGCGCUCUGUCAUGAACCCGAAUUGGUUGUCCGAAACCCGUGUCUCUUGCCUCAAUCAAUGCUCAAUGACUCUCUCCCAGAGCUUCAUUGUAUGACUCAUUAGCUUAAUACCCCUAUAGUUUAUGCAAUUUUGUACGUCGCCCUUAUUCUUGUAGAUAAGCACCAAAGUGCUAUUUCACCACUCAUUUGGCAUCUUCUUCGUUUUGAAAAUCCUAUUGAAAAGGUCAGUGAGCCAUGCUUACCCGUCUCUCCCAAGACCUUCCACACUUCGAUCGGUAUAUCAUCUGUGCCCACUGUUUUCUAUGCUUCAUCUUUUUCCAAACUACAACCACUUCUUUCUUCUUGAUUUGGCGGUAAAAUAAGUAGUUUCUACACUCUUCUGAGUUACUUAACUCCCCCAAAGAAGUACUCAUUUCAUGUCAUUCCUUGAAAAGAUUAUAAAAAUAACACAUCACACCCACCUACCAAGUUUAUGAAAAUAACAAUCUUUGGAGUAAUAAUUAAGAUAAAAUAGCACAUAACACCCACCUACCGAGUUUAUGAAUUAGACGAUGACGGAUGAUAAGCUUGCAUGCAAUAACAUAACAAGUGCGUAGACGAAAAAAGUAUGAAGAGUUGUAUUCUUUUUAAAUUAGAGUUCGUAUGAUCGAUAAUCUAAUCUAUCUAUAACGAGUCUUAAAGUUCCUUUUACACCAUAAAUAACUAAUAAAGGAUAGUGAAAUUACCUUAAUUUUAACAUUGAAGUAUGACAAAAUUUAUUGAAGAAAAGUUUGAAGGUUGAAAUAGUCGAGAGAUGCUGCAUGCUGUAUUCACAUGCAUUUUUCUUCUGAUGAAGCCAAAUCCUUGACUAGCAAUCAGAAAAAUAAUAGGUAGCGAAAACGGUCGGUGAGAAUUUGCUUUGGGUUUAGUGUUUAGGUGAGGUGGGUCUAGAAUCAUCAUUAAUUUAGACCAAGUUGGUAUUUUGUUAAUUUAGAGCAAGUUGGCACCAGAACCCCAAAGUUAAAACACUUUUUUUUUUUUUUGGUAGAAAUCCAAAUGAUGAUGCUCCAUGACCUUUGUAUUGGAAUCUCUCCUUUUAUAUUUCUGCGGCUUCCAAGAGACGGUCGAUGAGAAUUUGCUUUGGGUUUAGUGUUUAGGUGACGUGGGUCGAAGAGGGUUUAGUGUUUAGGUGACGUGGGUCGAAGAAACACUCCAAACGUGAUUAAGAGUAAUCAAAUAAAAUGAAAAGAUUAAAUAAGGUCCUGAUGUCAGUUAGACUUUUGGGCUCUAUUUAAGAAUGCUUAUUUUGAAAAGAGAUGUGAUAUCCACACACACCUUUUUAUUUCUCACAAAUCUUUUUAAUUUUCGGUCGUUGGAUCAGAUGAAUUGAAGAAGAUCAACGAACAUAAAUUAACAAGGGGUGUGUGAGAAGUAAAAAGAUAUGUGUAGAUAGCACACCUAUUUUGAAAAGCACUGUCUGUUAAUAAGCUUUUUUUUUUUUCCCUUCUAAAAAUACCUUUAUUUGAUUCAUGUUGUUCUUUUUAUUAAAAAUUUAAGUUUUUUAUAAAAAUUUAUUUGGACCUACUUAUUUAAAAAACACGAUACAUACUUUAGAAAUUGCUUUUUUACUUAAAAGCAUAUUCAGGUUUUUCUGCAAACUGAGAAAAAAACACUUCUGGUCGUGAGAAGAAACUUUUUACCCUCACAGAAGUAGCCCUACAAAAUCCUUAGAACCAAGGUAUUAAAUAUCGAUGAUAUCGGAAAUAUCGGUAGUCUGAAAACAUGGAAAUAUCGAUGGAAAUAUCGGGAUAAUAUCGAUAUUGAUAAAAAUAAUAUGAAGACCACGGAAAUUGUAAGAAAAACUUGGAAAUUUUUAUUGAAACUUUGUAGGAUGUUUAUUUAGUCAAUUAUCUAUUAGUUUAUCACAAAAAAUUGGAAGGAAAUGCAUUGCAUGAUGGAUUUAACAUUAUCAAGUUGAUUAUAUAGUGAGCUGACAAACAUUGUUAGUGUAGAAAAUAUGUAGUAAUUAAUGAAAGAAGUUUAAACACACCAUAAUCAUUUAUAUAUACAAUAUUUUACACUUUAUACAUUGCAUGGUAAGAUACAUGAGUCACUUAGUACCACAUAGAGUUCCUAUGAGGUUCAAAAUUUUCACUAUCUUCAUCAUCUCUAUGUGUAGAGUGAGUGUAUUGUGAAGAGUAGUUAUCAAAUGAUAAACCCCCAAAAUAGUUUUGUAUGUAAUUGUUAACAUGCCACCUAUAUGGAUCCGAGAUUGGUUGACCUUGUCCAUAAGCAAAAUCAUUUGAAGAUUGAGUCUCGGAUUGUUUCCAUGAGUUGCUCGAUUCCAUCCUAACAGGAAUGAGAUAUGAAGGGUAAGGAAAUGGUUGGUUAUGAGUAUAACCUUAGUUACUACUUCCUACUCCAACAGUCCGAAGUUAUAGAUAACGAGUCAUUUUCUUGACUUGACAAAAUCCCCUUGCCUCUUUCUCUAUGAGUAUAGUCCUUCCCUAUGGCACAAAUUCCUGGUCCUACCCGCCUACUGCCAUGGUCCUCAUCCUGUGUUGCAUGCAUGAAGUUUGCCUCACCAGUGAAGGGGCUCAUAAAUCCGGGAGGUGGUCCAACGUAGUUUCCAUAUCCACCACCACUACCUCUAGCUCCACUAUAUCCUUCAUCAUUCUCACCUCCGGUGGUAGGUGAGUCUCCUCCUGAUCUUGUACUAGAGCUAUCAUUAGUAUCAGCACGAUGUUGUGGUUGUGUAGGAUUGGAAGAAGGUGAAAUUCCAGUGUUUCUUGGUCUUGGGCACAAAAGUUCUUCCAAAGAAUCAGCGCUGCUAGAUCCCACCUCCUCCGCUAAUACUCUUUCUACAUUUAUCCCUUCAUUACGUGCUUCUUCAGCAACUCUGAGAGUUGGGUUGCCUUCAUCAUUAUCUAAAUGAAGAGGUCUAAUCCAUUGAUAAAGUUGGUUACCUUCUGUAUCAUCAUCUUCAGCAACAAUAUCAAACACAUCUAGUGGGUCACCACGGUCAACAUGAUCUAUUUCUGCUUCCUUAUCUCGAAUUUGAAGCUUCAUGUUGUAGUAGUAAUAAACUAUUUUUUCCAACCUACUAUGAGCCAACCUAUUUUUUUGCUUUGUGUGUAUGAGGGCAAAUGUACUCCAAUUUCUUUCACAAGCAGAUGAUGAAGCUAUUUGUGAUAAUACUUUGAUUGCUAACUUUCUCACAGUUGGUGCAUCGGUCCCAUACAUGAUCCCCAUUCAGCUACAAUGAAAAACAAUGUUGAUAAGCCUAAUAACUCCAACAAAUUCUAUUAUAAACUUAUCGUGAAAUAUGUUUACACUCACUAGGAGACAUUUUUGUUCGAGCAGCAACUGAUGUUGGUUCUCCAAAAGUUCUUCUUGCAUCUUUAAACCAUAUUAACUGAAUUCAAUAAAUCGUAGUAGUUUAAUCCAACAAAGUAAUUAUUAUAAUUUAAGUAAUUGUGUACUUCAUUUCCAAAUUGGCCAACUGCUGGUGAUACAGGGUCUAAUUUAGAGUAUACAUUAUGUACAACACGUAUAAGGGUACCAUCAUCUCCAACACCGGGUCUAUAUUGGUAUUGAGGAUUCAAAUAAUAUGCUGUUCAAAGAAACACAUACUCUAAUAAGAGAAAUAAUACUUAUGCAACUAAAGAAAUGAAUUGCAAAUUAUGACAUAAUUUAUACCUGCUGCAUGCAAAUCGUGGUAUAAUGUUUUAUACCAUCGGUCUUCAAUUAUCUUUAUGACCCACCUUGCAUCAUGUUUUCUUUCCAAUUCAUCAUUCACUACACGCAUCAACUCAUAUAUUGCCCCCACAGCAGGAUACACUUCUGUGUCAACGAUCCGUAAAACUUUGUAAAGAGGUUCAAACACUUGGCACAUAUGUUCUGAUUGAGUCCAAAAAGCAUGAUCAAGCAUUAUACUUUCCACCACGACCUGCAUUUGAGCGGCUCAAAUUGUGGUUGGCCCAAUCGUCACUAGUGAAUAGUUGCUUCAACCCUGCUUUCUUUUUAAGUAGGCUGUUUAAUGCAAUAUAGUUGGUGGCGAAUCGAGUGGUAGCUGGACGAAUAAUUUCUCCUUUGCAAAAUUCACAUAUCUUUGCCAACAACCAACCGUGAUUGUAAAUAUAAUUUGUGAUCGUUCUAGCUCUUUUUACCACAGUAGCAACAUUCUCUCUCUUCCCCAUUGCCUCAAACAUGAGAUCAAUACAAUGUGCUGCACAUGAUGUCCAAAACACAUUAUGAUGCUUCAUUAACUUUUUUCCAGCUUUGACAAAUGCAGAACCGUUGUCGGUCACGACUUGGACAACAUUAUGCUCUCCCACCUCCAUGAUUACAUCCCUCAAUAAUUUGUAAAUAUACUUGUAGUUCUUUAUAUGGUCUGAAGAAUCAGCAGACUUAAAAAAAAUUGUCUUUCCCUUGGAGUAUACCAUGAAGUUUAUGAUAGACAAUAUGGUCGGCCCAGUCCAUCCGUCACACAUGAUUGUGGAACCAUUAAUUUUCCAUUUUGACCUCAACUUGUUAACAUACUCGACAAUGUCUUUAUACUCCCUAUCCAAAUAUUUGUUUCUUAUCUCAUAGGGAGUGGGAGGUUGUACUCCAACACCGGCCUGUUGACAUCCCACUACCAUAUUUUUGAAAUGAUGUGAUGAUACUUUCUCAGCAGUGACAUUUUCAUAGAUAAAGAACUAGCUAAUUAGACGCCCCAUUCCCUCAUUCACAUUACCUCCAGUGAAAUAACUCCAAACACUCUUUUGACGUGCUUUGGAUGACUUAUAUAAACUUGGGGCUAUUGGUGGUGUUGGUUGUGAUUCUCUAAGACUGCCUCCCCGUCUCAUUUGUGCACCACCACUUGUCCCGGAACCUUGUGCUCUAUUAGGAAUUUUAUGAAGGUGUUCUCUUUCCCAUGCUGACUGUUUGGAGGCACCUAAUGCUUGUUUCAAACUGCGUCGUUCUUCAGGUCCCAUGUCAUCAUCACAUUCGUCCUCAUCGUCAUCAUCAUCACUGUCAACCGCUUGGCCAAUGACUUCUCCUCGUAGCCUAGCUCGAAUAUUUUCCAUUCCAUGUGUUAUCUUUUCCUUCUGCUGUUUUUUAUUUUUUAAUAAUGUGCUGAUGAAUGCCUUCACUUCUGGGGGGACAUUAUCGCAUCAUUGGACAUUUUUUGCUGGAUCUAAUCCACUAAGAUGGUACUUAAGUCGUGUCACUCCGACACUCUUCAUUACCUGACCACAAUAUUUGCAAAUUGUGCCAUGUUUGUUUCCGUCUAUUGGGUCUCCAUGUUCCCAAGCUGGAUCAUGUUUAGUAACUCCACUGGACAUCUUAAACGUACCUAUAUUUAUUUUUCAUGAAAAUUAGACAAUUAUUUUUUGGCCAAAAAAUAUAGUAGUGAUGACGGUUAUAUAAGAGAACCUAAAUAAUAAAGUUAUUCUACAGAAGAAUUAAAUACGAAGUAAAGAAAAUGAUUGUAAAAAUUUAAGUAAUUAUAAAAAUAAUAUGGAAUAAUAAAGCCUAAUACUAAUGAAUAAUAAUCCAAUUUGAUAAAAAAAUAAUCCUAAUAUAAAACAUAGUGAUGAAUAAUAAUCCAAUUUGAUAAUAAUCCAAUUUAAUAAUAAUCCAAUUUAAUGAAUAAUAAUCCAAUUUGAUAAUAAAAAAAACCUAAUAUUAAUGAAUAAUAAUCCAAUUUGAUAAUAAAACCUAAUAUUAAUAAAAUAAUAAAUAACAUUAAACAUGUUAAAAUUAUCCUAGGGAAUAAUUAUACAACAUUACUUAAUUACUUAAAAAAAUUAACAUGUAAUUGUUAACAUUACUUAAUUACUUACAAAAAUUAACAUGCAAGUAUUAAUUACUUAAAAAAAAUUAACAUACGAGUCCACACAAAUUUUUUUCUUGUUGUAUGAAUUACAAUAAUAUAAAUAUAAGUUUAUAAACUUACUUUAAAUAUGGAACCCUUUGUGUUCAAGCUCUGGAAUGGAUCUGGAAUGGCUUUGAAAGGGGUAAAGGAAGAAGAAGAAACGAAAAUGCUCUGAAUGACUUUGAUACUCCACCUCUGAGAAUGUGAAACAAUGUCACAGACAAUGGCACACGGUUUUGAAUGUGAAAGAAUAUCAUAGACUCAUAGCGGCACACGAUUUUGAAUGUGAAAGAAUAUCACAGACUCACAGUGGCACACGAUUUCAUUAUGAAAGCACUAUUAUUUUUGUCCAUGGUCUGAAAUUGUAAGAAGUGAUUCUACAAGUUGUCAAGUGAGUGUGAGUCAAAUGACCCAACCACACACACACACCGACACGCCACCACACACACACACAACACAACACACGCACACAACACAACACAACACACGCACACAGUCUCUCUCUCUAGAUCUUUCUCUCUUCUGUCUUCUCUGAUCUCUCUUCUCCCCCUUUUCCAUUCUCCCACACACACACACAGAUCUCCCACACACAUGCACAGAGACCCAAGGUCUCUCGAUCCUUCUCCCACAUCGCCUUCUGCUCCUCCCUCGUUGGCGCCGUCUCUCUCCUUUCUCUCUGCACCGAGGGUCCGAGACCCACAUACACACACGCACACCAUCGCACCUGCUUCAAGAAGACACCCAUCAUCAUCAGCAACCUCGUCUUUCUCCCUCUCCUUCUCGUCUUUGCAACUCGGCGAACGCAGGAACUCCGGCGAGUUUCUUGAAUUUCUCCGGUUAGGUAAGCUUCGGGUUUGCCUCUUUCUGUUCUAGAUUGAAGCUUAUAUGUGAAAUUUAAGUUCAAAAUCGUGUUUUUGCAAGGUUUUUGGGACGAAAUCGGCUCGAGAAUAGGCACACCCAUCUCUAGCGAGGCCGUGAGUGUCGACGAACUUUUUGAACACCUCCGACCGUUUCACGGCAAACGAAAUUUAUAAAAACAUUCAUCUCAUCUUCUAUUUCAUUUUGAUACCUAGAUCGGAGUCUAGGGUGCUCUUUUACAGUCGGCCGGAGCUGUAGAAGCUCCGACGUUCUUCUCCAUUUAGCACAGUUCCAAAAUAUCGCGAUAGUUUCGGAAAUAUCGCGAUAUUAUCGAUAAUAUCACGAUAUUUUGACGAAAACCCUUUGGAUACCUAUUAAAAUAUCGUUAACGUGAAAAACUGAUAAUAUCGGCGAAAUAUCGCUGAUAUUAUCAGCAUUUAAGACCUUGCUUAGAACCACGUAAGAAUUUUUAUUUAUAAUGCAAUUUCUUCUUGAAAAACCAUUUGCAAUUCUUUUACAAUCCAUAAUUUCCUUUUUUAAAAAACCUUUUUCUAUCAAAUAUUACCAAAAUAACACUUCUGUUUUUUUUUAUUUUUUUUAUUUUUAUUUUUUAAAGAGACAACUGGUGGCAUUAUUCACAGAGGCAUUUCAGCCUUUUCCUAGCCAGAUUUGACAGCGGUUUUCGAAUCCGAGAUCUCUAAUUUUUAGUUUUAAAGAAGCAUCGUUAUCCUCUCUUUACCACUGGACCACCAGCUCGUGGUUAAACACUUCAGUUCAUUGAAAUUAUACUUAACCUUGACACUUGAAACAAAGCCCACGUCAACAAAAGUCCAAAAGGGCCGUUAUAGCCUUAAGUGAUUAGCAUUCGUGUCUGAGUUCCCUCUUCCCCUAUGAAUUAUACUGGCAUGUACGAUAAGUCCAAAAAGAGAAUCACAUAUUAAUCUUGUUGUGGCAUCCCGUGUUGUGCUUUGGCCUGUUAUCUCACCAACUUAUAAACCCACAGUUGAACAAUUUAAAAUACAAGAAAUAAAGACACCAAGAGAAUUACGAGGUUCGGCAAAAACCUGCCUACGUCAUCGGAGAGAUAUUGCUCUUCACUAUGAGAAUAGCUAGUACAAAAUAUACAUGAGUUAAAUUGACAUAACCCAAACCCCAAUCUCUUGUACACUCACAGAAUUUUUCCAAGAGCCUCACUCUCCCCUAGAGUUUCUCACUCUCACUUUAUUUUCUUUUCCCUCUGUGUUUUCCGGAUGCACCCCUGUCUUUCUUCACACUCGGCAAACAUUUAUAUACAAUGCAAGCAAUUCCUUGCAUUUAAAUAAAGGCCAUCAUUUCAAUCCCCCAGCUUUUACGGAAGGCUUUAUCAUUCCACAUGCUUUGCAUGAAACUAUGCAUCCCCUCCCUUUGCCUUUAAUCGAAUCACAAUGCCACCUUCACGUGAAAAAAAGCAAAUGGGAAAACAUGAAAAGAAAACCUAGCCUAUAAAAUAGACUUUUUUCAUGCAUAGAAAGCAUACAUAUUUACGUGCAAACAAACACAAAGACAACACUUUGCUACAGCCAUUUCCCUGUAGCACAUAAAGCUAAACUAUCAAAAUUGUUGCCAACUCAAACUAUGAGCCAAUCACAACAAUCUCCACCUUGGCGAAUACACCAUGCAAAAAUCCUUGCACCCAUCACCAAAGCUCAUUGGCCUUACGUACCAGCAUACACACCCUGAAUCAACCUCGUUGGUCCUGUUCCGAUUCAGUCACUGCCAAUGCAUGUGCAGCUGCUGCAAGCUAAAAACACCAUUUAGCUUCAGACAGGAUCUCGACACAUCCUCGUCUCCUCCUGUAGGAUUUCCCCCUCUUUAUUGUCUGCAACUUGGAAACUCGUCAGUGCACCCGUUUCCAGCAACAACCCAUCGAGCCAGACAAAAUUCCCCACACUUCUCUUCCUUCAGGACCAUCUCAUCACCUGUGAAUCCCAUAGCUCCACCUGCUGCAAAUCCCUUGCAACACUCAAGACUAAACAUCACCAAGAGAAGUGUUGCUUCGAGUACCUAGAGGGCAUACUCGAAGUCUUCUGCCACAAAAUUGCUACUACUCGGACCAAGAUCAUCCUUUCUUUUUCUCAAAGGACAAUUUUUCUUUUUAUGCCCGAAUUCUUUGCAGUAGUAGCAUUGUAGACCCUUGCCUCCGGAACCGAAUUUGAACCUGUUGUCUCUCUCAGAUCCUCCUCCCAAUUUUCUUCCACGAUUCCAACCUUGAACAGCUAAAGCAGUCUCGUGCCCACCAUCAACAAUGGUCUUCUUCUUUUGUGUAUCAUAAGACACUAAAGAAGCCUGCACCUGCUCCAAACUUACUGUAUCUUUUCCAUGCAGUAAGGUUGUCACAAGAUUUUCAUACGAAUCUGGAAGUGAGGUAAGAAGUAAGAGGGCUUUAUCUUCUUCCUCAACCUUAACAUCAACUUUCCGCAAUUGAUCCAAGUAUCCGUUGAACACAUUCAUAUGGUCCAUGAGAUUCCCGCCUUCAUCCAUCUUUAGCUUGUACAGCUUCCGCUUCAGAUGUAACUUGUUGGUCAAACUCUUAGCAAUAUAGAGUUUUUCCAACUUCUCCCAGAGUGCAGGCGCAAAAUCUUCAUCCAUAACAUUAUUGAUAAUGUUGUCAGCUAUACAGUGUCGAAUUGUGCUAACACAACGCGACUCUAGCUCUUCCCAUUGGUCAUCUGUCAUUUCUUUAGGCUUCCCAUCUUUUCCCUUCAAAACUCUAGCCAAGCCUUGUUGAGUCAAGACAUCCUUUACUCUCAUCUGCCAAAGAGUAAAACUGCCUUUCCCAUUAAACUUCUCAACUGAAAAUGACAUGUUUGUAGUCAUCAUGGUGAAUAACAAAUCUGGACCUUCAAUGAACCAAAGCUUCCAACAAAGCUCUGAUACCAAUUGUUGUGCUUUGGCCUGUUAUCUCACCAACUUAUAAACCCACAGUUGAACAAUUUAAAGUACAAGAAAUAAAGGCACCAAGAGAAUUACGAGGUUCGGCAAAAACCUACCUACGUCCUCGGAGAGAUAUUGCUCUUCACUAUGAGAAUAACUAGUACAAAAUAUACAUGAGUUAAAUUGACAUAACCCAAACCCCAAUCUCUUGUACACUCACAGAAUUUUUCCAAGAGCCUCACUCUCCCCUAGAGUUUCUCACUCUCACUCUAUUUUCUUUUCCCUCUGUGUUUUCCGGAUGCACCCCUGUCUUUCUUCACACUCGGCAAGCAUUUAUAUACAAUGCAAGCAAUUCCUUGCAUUUAAAUAAAGGCCAUCAUUUCCAUCCCCCAGCUUUUACGGAAAGCUUUAUCAUUCCACAUGCUUUGCAUGAAACUAUGCAUCCCCUCCCUUUGCCUUUAAUCGAAUCACAAUGCCACCUUCACGUGAAAAAAAGCAAAUGGGAAAACAUGAAAAGAAAACCUAGCCUAUAAAGUAGACUUUUUUCAUGCAUAGAAAGCAUACAUAUUUACAUGCAAACAAACACAAAGACAACACUUUGCUACAACCAUUUCCCUGUAGCACAUAAAGCUAAACUAUCAAAAUUGUUGCCAACUCAAACUAUGAGCCAAUCACAACAUCCCGUUCUCAUUUUCUUGCUCUACAUGUUUGCCACUAAUCGAAGUCGCUUAAAAGGCACGAUUGGCGGGUCAUGAUUCAUGAAUCUUCCAAAACCUGUCUAAAUUUUGAUUGCAUGAGAUCAUGGUUCCAACUUCCGAACAUCAAAUCCUCAUUUGUGGACCCAAAAAAAACCACCUCAUCCGCGAGCGACUAAAUUAUGCAAUAACUCGACUAAAAUAUCCCAACUGCUUUGCAUGUAAGAAGGCAGACGAGCAACCAACUAGGCUUUCUAGUUCUGAAAGUCACAAUCUAAAUGCAGCUUCACUUUUUGCACAGCCAGAUACACAUUAGGCAAAUCAUUUGCUUAUGAUGAAGAUGCAAGCGGGGAGCCUUUUCCUGAGAUACUUCCACUUUCCAUGUUGAUAUCAAAAGAGAGGUUUUUUCUCUGGGAAGCUCCUUGUUUGAAUGAGAUUCAAUGUUAGACCAAUAUAAAGGUGUCCAGUUCCUAUGAGGUUGCCACCCAUAUUUGUGGUCUCCAACUAUCCGUGUUCGCAAAACCUCCGCGCAGUGUACACGCAGCUGUAGUUCCAUGAACACGGUUAGAGGAGUUGUGAACAGUGAAAAGCGGCUUGUUUAACUAAGGGAUAGAACUGUAAACAGAUAUCAUCACCACUGCUUAGUUUUGAUCGAUACCUGAUGCUUUCGGCCAGUAAAAGGGUAGCUCUAGCCAUGUGAAACCUGCAAUAGUGUGAUAUCAGAAUACCACCAUCUCUGUCAAGCCUAUCUACCUAAGAAACACAAACUUCUUAUCCAAGAAAAGGGAAGGAAAGAGAAACAAUAACACACAGAGCCUAUUCAUGGAACAUAGAUAAUCCAUAAAUCGAAUCCAGAUUGUUGGGGACAUUGAAGAGACCAUGAAACUACACAUUUCAACAAUGAUUGAAAUUUAAAAUACAAGCUUAAUUUUAACAUUUACAUUUUUGUUAAAAUACCCGGAAUUAGGUUAGUUGCAUGAAUCGAUAAAUAUCUAAAAUCAGAAUAUUACAUAGAAUACAACACAUAUGUAUCAAGAAAAAGAUUCAUAAUACCAUAUAGUUUUCUUCUUAAAUUGCAUAUUCCUCUCCGUUGCAAUACUUGCAUUCGCUCAAAUGCAAAAAAUUUCCUGUUUUCAUACUUUCUAGGUCUCAGAGUGACACAACUUUUUAGUUUUUACCAGCCCAAUGAAGCUGAUGUUCCUAGUGCUUAACCCGGGCUUACGAAGUAUAGCUCACAACUAGGCACUAGCUUCCUUUUUCAACAUAAAAUGUGUGAACAAGCUGCUAGACUGGUAGUCAAUGAGUUGGAUAGAUUUUUACUAUUGGAUCCAUUGCAAAUUUUAGAAGUCUUAACAAAUAUAAUGCUUAUCAUAAAGCUACUGAUAAUGAAUUGAAAACAAGAUUUCCUACUUAUCAGCCGAGGUGGUUCUGAGAAGUCAUAACUUAAACAAGCGGCAACCAGCUCAUCUAAACUCCGUUUGAUUCCAUUGCCACCCUGUGCAAACAUCAUUUUAAUAUCAGAAUGACAUUUAAACUACCAACAAACCUAAAUACAACAGUAACCUUGAUUGAAGCAUCAAUAGCUCACCUGAACAGGCAUUCCAGGGGGGUUUAUUGAUGACGCUAAUGGUUGGACUUGGAUCCUAAUAUCAGAAUAACGUGCAUGUUAGGUCAUAUAUGAGGUAAUUGGAAAUUGGGCUAAAGUUGAGGGACUAUUACUCUAAUUUUGACAUUAUAUAUUGUAAAGAAUAUAGCUGGCUGAAAAUCACACAACAUAAAAUCAAAGUUAAGAACCUCAUACAACUCCAGGCUCCGGAUAAAGUUGGAUCUCUUCACUACAAUACCGCUCUUGUUUAUCAUUUGGGGACUCCCGUUAAUCAUCAGGGAACUCUUGCACACUAAAAGGAAGACGUAUUCGUUCUCCUAAGUUCAUCAAAUCUUUAGCUGCCACCUUCCCAUAAAUUAAAAUCGGAUAGAAAACUUUCCCAUAUUAAAUCACACAAAACAAAGCUCUAUCAUUUUAAUUUCCCAAACGAAAACUUACAAAAAAACCCGAAGAAAGUAUGAAAUGUAAGAGAAAUAUCAGUUACCACGGCCGUCUAUGAUAAUUGGGGUCCUCUGCGAAAAUUUUAAUGGGACCCUCACUAAUAAUCUUAUAGAAAAUAUUAACUAAUUUUUGUUUGAGAUAUUGUACCAUGGAUAAACACACAUCCUUUUUAAACUUAGACACGUAUGUUUUUUUUUUGAACAAACGUAUUAUGUAACAUCCCACAAGGCUUUUUGGGAGCUCACUGGUUUCGGGUUUUAUCGAAACUCCGAAGUUAAGCGAGUUCGCACGAGAGCAAUCCCAUGAUGGGUGACUCAUUGGGAAGUUCUCGUGUGAGUUCCCAGAAACAAAACCGUGAAGGCGUGAUCGGGGCUCAAAGCAGACAAUAUCGUGCUACGGUAGAGUUGAGCUCGGGAUGUGGUCGGGGCCCUAGUCAGGAUGUGAUAAUUUGGUAUCAGAGCCAAUCCCUGGCCGGAAGUGUGCUAACGAGGACGUCGAGCCUAUAAGGAGGGUGAAUUGUAACAUUUCACAUCGCCUAAGGGAGUGGAUCCUCUAUGUCUUAUAUGUAUAUUCCCAUCUCUACCUAGCAUGAGGCCUUUUAGGAGCUCACUGGCUUCGGGUUCAAUCGGAACUCCGAAGUUAAGCGAGUUCGCGUGAGAACAAUCCCAUGAUGGGUGACCCACUGGGAAGUUCUCGUGUGAGUUCCCAGAAACAAAACCGUGAGGGCAUGGUCAGGGCCCAAAGUAGACAAUAUCGUGCUACGAUGGAGUUGAGCUCAGGAUGUGGUGGGCCGGAAGUGACAUAUUAUCUACACUAAGGAAGAGAGGGUGGGCUUAGCCUUAGAAUGAGCUAACAAUAAUGUGGUUUUAAUUCGUAUUUAGUGAGAACAACGUAAGAUCUCUCAUUUACAAGUGAAGAUGAAUAUCACUAGACCGUAGUACGAAGUAGUUCUGCACCGACUAACAAAAACCUCAGACAUGUAUGUUUAAUCUUAUCCUUUGUUUUUGUUUAAUUUAUUCAAUUCAACGACAAAAAAUAAAGGAAAUAAGUCUAAGAAGAUAAAAAUAAUGUGAGAAAACUUGCCAAUAAGCAAAUCUAUGAUUAAAACUAACACAAACUUUAAAACUGAAACUCAUGUUCAAUUAAGAAACAACCAAGUCAAAUUCAUACUAGCAGUAAAAACAUAAAUCGAAUUGUUAGCGUCUCAAUCCAAGUAGUUGAGUAAUCUUAUUUAUUUGGGAAUUUUGUUGAGAGCAGUAUUAUGAGUUAUGGACAUAGAAAUAAUCCAAUAUUUUUUAUUAUUAUUAGACUAUUUUUUUAUUAAAGAUAUUAAACAUUAUAUAAUAUAUGUGGGAUGAAAAAACAUCUUAGACCUGUUCAAUUAAGGCCCUCUGCAAUGGCUUCCCCCUCAAAGCCGGCACCGUCAAUUACCGUUUUAAGUGGGGCGCUCAUGUGCUUCAACAGCUUGAUCAAAACACUUUUCUCUUUGAACGUGUAGUAGUAAUCGCGCAACAACUUUGUAAUCAACUUCAAUAACCCACUUCUCAUUUGCAAUCAAAUUUCAAAAAUUCAAAAAAUUUCAAUGUGGGUGUGAAUCUGGUGAGUAACCCCGUUUAAGCGUUGUGAGGGUGGUGGCUGCGGUGGUGGCAAAGACAGUAUUCGUGAUUGUACCUCUGCCGUUGUUUAAAUAAUUGCCAGAUAGCUCUUUAACCAACGCGGCACCCUUUUCGGUGGCAGUGAACGGAGGUAAAGUGAACUAUUUUUGGCCACGCGUUUCUUUGUCUUCGUUAAGUGUUUCAGAGGUGGCAUAAGAUCGGCAGUUGUGGAAGGUUAAGUACUGGUUUGGUACUGAGGUGUUUUUAUAAAAAGUGGGUAUAAAAAAAAGUUGAGCUCAAAAAGGUGUUUGGUGAAUACUUAAAAACAACUUAUUUUCAUAGUUUUGGGUGAAAAGAAGCUGAAGACGUGAAGCAGCAAAAAUAAGUUUAUUCUCACAACACAGCAGAAGUAGUUUUUUUUUUUAAUUUUUUUUAAAUUUAAAACAUAGCAAUACCAAACCAUCAUAAUCUCGCACUAUCGAACACAGUGGAUGAAGGUGGUGAACGGAGGAUGAGUCUGGUUGGACCCAAAUUGAACAUUGGACUUGCGUCGCAGCCCAAACAUGCGUAUGGAGUCUUAAUUUCGCGGCAAACCUACAAUAAUAAUCAGACUAGAGGGGGUUAUAGAGAGAUGUUUAGAAGAGAAAUCAUUUUUUAAGGAAAAAAACUCGUAAUUUCAAGGGGAUCAAGUGUGAAUUCACCCUUUGCUAGUAGUCACAUCAACCACUUGGCAAGAGAAGGGAUGCCUCCAGGAGUUACAAGCUUAAUUCAUUGAGAAGUCAACUCUACAAAAGCGGCGGUAGAACUAGAUAAAAGGGACACCCAAAUCAACUCUCAGAAAAGACUCCCAAAAGCUCUAUCACUUUCCUUACAUUUGUUUUGUAGACCAGUUGUCUUCCCUUUUUAGUUUUAGCUAUGUUGCAUUCCUUUUGUAGUAUCGAUUUUCAUACUUGUUGUUUUUAAGGAUUGUACAUUGUAAAUUGGAAAAGGUGUGCCCGACAGGCAACUAGCAGUGCUAGAUGAGGUUAAAUUAUGUCUAAACCUUUAAUAUUUACACUUUGUUGUAUUAAUUUGUGCCUUUAAAUACCUUGCACUUUCAUUACAAGUUAUUUAGUAUUUACUUACGAGUAUUUCAGCUUCCAAGUUAUUAUUUAACGUCCUUUUACGUUUGCUGUACUUUAGUUUUUCUUAAUAACUUUAACAAAUCGAUCAUUUCUUUUGUUCCUAAUACAUGUUAAAAUGGCAUAUAACACUAACCAAAAGUCCUUGAUCCCAAGGCAAAGAAAAGAACUUUUUAUGGACUUAACCCCUCCAUAAACAAUCCCUUGAUCGAAGAAGUCCGGGAAACUUGGGGUGCAAGUAAUUGAUUUAUCCAUGCCCAAAUGACUUUCAAUCUGCUGGUCUUAGCCAACAGUGGUACACUCAUCAUUUUUCUUAGCUUGUUAGAAAGCCUGAGAGCCUAACAAGGGCUCCAGAAAGACAUCUUUCAACUAAUCCAGGAAUUCACCGUGCUCUCAGGGGAGUUGUGUGAGGCACAUUCCAGGCCGAACAUAAUUUUGGCAUGCCCAGUGGGACUUAUUAUGUUACAUGCCAAGGCGCAAAAAAAAGGAACAAAGACUCUGAAGGGAGGUUUAGGGCAGCCAGAUCUCACUUACACUUGUGGGUUAGAAUGUCAGACCAGCUAGGAGAUCCUAACAUCCUAAAAAGUCCAAUGGUGGCUGAAGCUCUCAUUCAUUCAAGACAUCGGCUGUCAUUGUUACAAAUGAAGAGCUGAAUUCUACCAUGAUCCAGGUGUUGAGAAGCAUGGAUAAAACAAGAGGAGAUAUUAGAAGAUUAUGCUCUAUCACAUGAGAGUUGCAAAGGAAGUUAGAGGUGGACCUUUUUUAUCUCAUCCCACAAAAAACUGUGUGCUAGCUAAAAAGGGUCCAGAAGAUGACCCUAAGAAAGAAGGUAUUGCAUCAAUCUUCAUUCCGUUGUCCAAGGAGGAAAAGAAAAAGGGAAAAGCGAAGCAAAAUAGUGGUUUUCCUAAGCCUGAAGAAGGGGCUUACUAAGGUAGGCAUGUCUGUGAUAUUUCUAGCUACAAUCUCAUGAGGAAUUGUCAUCGGGUAAUUAGAGACGGAUGUGGCAUCUAGCUCCAAUGCAGGGAUGAGUGGAGAAUGCAUACCACCCAUAAUUAUUAAGCCAUUCCCUUAUAGGCCACCUUCAUUGUUAAUAAAGGAAGGGCAUGACUCUGCUGGAGACAGACUAAAGCAUCACCAGAAGUGCCCGUCCACUUUGAGAACAACCCAAAGCAAGGGGUAGCCCUACUUUUGCCAAAUAAUUUGGCAAACCAACAACUCAGGAACGAGAUAGUUGACUUGAUGAGGUUGAUAUUGCAGAAUGCUUAGCCCUAGGCACAACCAAUGUUUAAGGUAACAUACCAAAACCCUACCCUGCUUAUAUUGAUGAACACAAUCAUUUUCCCAUCAACUUCAAAAUGCCAUCUUUUCCCACCGUCAGUGGAGAAGUUAGUAGUGUGUCUUCCAGAGACCACAUCUUCAAAUUCUCAAACCACUGUGUGGCAUUCGAAGAUAAUCCAAACUACAAGCUGAGGUUAUUUGGGAAUUCUUUGGUCGGGCUAGUUUCUCAAUGCUAUUCUUUGCUAUCCCUACCUUCAUUGCUAAUUAAGGGCAAAUGGAAACUUCUUGCCAAGAACAAUUCUACAGGUAAAGCUCGAAGUGACAUAAAUAACUUGAUAAAGGUGAAGUAAUUUGAGCAUGAAUCCACUGAAGACUUUAUAAUGAGGUUUAGGAAAAUCAGUAUGAGGUAUCAGUUCCCUAUCAACCAUGCACAACUCAUAGUUAUUGCCCAAAAAGCUUUGUGGUUGCCCCUAAGGAAAAAGUUUUAUGAUGUACAAUUAAAUGAUCUAUAGGAAUUGGUGAUUGCAGCUACCAAAUAUGAAAUAUUGUUGGCCGAAGAGCAACAAAUGAAGCAUUCUUCGAAGCUACCAUUUUUUACAAAAAUAAAGUUCUAAUACACCAGUUGGAGUUUGAAGGGGUAGAGCUUAAAGGGAGGAAUGAAUGUGAGUGUUGCAGAGAUGAUACCUCUUUUCAAACCCUUGACUAUGAAAGGUUUAGUGAAACCCGUCAAUGACAAAAAGAUAGUGAUGAAGAUUGAGGGCUUGUACCAAUAAAGCCUCCAAAGUACAAGUCAUACUCUUUUGACCUCAGAAAGGCAGUAGAGAUCUAUGGAAAGUUGGUAAAGGCUAGACUAAUCUUGCCUGGCAACACUAAAAAUAUGCCUAAGCCUAAAAAGCUUAGAAGGAAGAAAUACUGCAAGAUCCACUACAUUACCAACUACUCUAUUACCAACUGCGUCUAGUUCAAGGACUGGAUCUCAGAUAUGAUUGUCAAGGGAAGACUGUUGUUGGAAAAACCACAGGCUACUAUGAUGAUUGAUACAUAUCCCUUCCUAAAGCACUAAUCAACAUGAUGAAUCUGAACUAAUCAAAAGAAGGGGAAGAUGAAAUUAACUCUGGAUAUAGGAAGUGAAAAGAAAAAGGAAGCAAGAAUGGAUGAGGGCAGCAUGAUGUUGCCCAAGAGGCUCUAAGCCGCAAUAAUAAAGAGAGUAGUGUUAUGCAGUCGAUGUCGGUGUGAAUGUGAGAUUAAAAUAUCAGCACUUGGAGCCAUGAUUGAUCAGGAGCUGGCAAAACAAUGAGAGAAAAAGAAAGAUGAGGUGAUGAACGAUGUCUACAAGGCACUCACCAAAGCUUUUGUUCCAGGUAGGCUUGAAAGGAUGACUAGCAGGAAUGUAAUUCAAAGGCUGGGAGGAGAUUUCAAGCCUAAAACUUGGCUGAAACAUAUGGUGAGGUGAGUUCAAAGGCAACACAUGGUAGAUUUAGGAUAGAUCUUGAUUAUAUUGUCUAAUCUCUAAGAUAUCCUAAAUUGACUUUAAUUAGGGUUUCAUUACUUGGGAGACAAGUAAUAUCUUUAAUAUGCCAAAGCCUAGCUUCUCGGACUAUGCUCCAUGGGCUUCGAGUAUUUCAGUCUUUCUUGCCACCAAUCAUGGGCCCAUAAUUAUAAUGAUUUUAUUUAUUUAUUUUGAACUCCCUUAAAAAUGCUAUUCAUGAGGGUUUUUAGGGUUUUAAAAAUCCAAAGGACAAUGUACUCAUCUCAAAGUGUAAAAGAUGCAAUCAUAAUAGUUUGUAAGUUUUUUCACAUUUUUUGUACUUGUAAAUUAAUUAUUAUAGUUUUUUUAAUGUGUUUGGUAUUUUUAAAUUACUUUGAUAUUUUUAUUUUUUAACGUGUUUUAUAAUGUUGCAACUUAGUACUACAGUUUAGUGGUAUUUCUCUUCAUUUGUAAGUGAGAGGUCUUAAGUUCGAUUCUCGUCGAGGUGAAUUUGAACUCUAUUAUUGCUAGUCCAUUGUGAGACUAAGCCCAACCCCUCUCCCCUUAGUGUAGAUAAUAUCAAUUGUUAAAAAAAAUGUGUUUUAUAAUGUUUUAAUCUCACUUUUAGAAGGAUAAAAUAUUUAUGAGUAUGAAUGUCUGAGAGAGUAAACAACUUUGUUAGGUUGUUGACUCUAAAAUUGAAAGUUUGUGUUGUUGCCUAUACUAAUACUAUACUACUUGAUUUGAAUUUUGGACAACAGGUCAAGUAAAAUCUAUUCCAGUCAUUAUAAUAAAAAUAAGGGUUAAUUACACAAAACUAUAAACUAUGGGGCACACUACAAUUUCAUACCUCAUGUUUUAAAUAUCGUAAUGUCAUACUUCAACUUACAAAUUCAUUGCAAUAUCAGACCUCCAUUAAUUCAUCCAUAAAAUUAGCCAUUAAAUGAGAAGGUGGCAAAUGCAGGGCCCAUAUUUUUCUCAUGUAAAAGACUAUGUAGAUAAAAUAAAUAAAUAAAAUAAAUCAAUUAAAAAUAAUUACAUAAGAAUGGGACCCACCCCAAUACCUCACCAUUCUGUAAACCAUUAAAGGUUAUUGAAGAAAAAGGUUAUAUAGAAGCAAGAAAGAAGAAAGAGAUAGAGAGAGAAGUAGAAGAUUGAGAGAUUAGAGAGAAGAAUCUGUUGAGAAUUGUAGUAUCUUUUCUUAUCAGAUACAAUGGUUUGUUACAAGCUAUGUAUAAUAGCAUUUUAUAACCAACUUAACUAACUUCAUAAUCUUAUGACCCUACAAUGGAUGUUAAGAGUAUUAAGAUCCAAUGGUUAUGAGAAUUGUAGUAUUAACUAACUCCAUAGGGUUUUGCAUAAACUAACAGCCCUGAUGCAUUGCAAAUGCAAUGUCAGGUCUAGUAAAUGUCAAGUACUGUAAAGCUCCAACUAAACUUCUAUAAAGGGCAGGAUUAUUUAAAAUUUCCCAUCAUUUUUUAGCAAUCUGUUGUAGGGCAAACAUGGAGUAGCACAUGGUUUAGACAGCAGCAUUUGAGACUUAGUUAACAAAUCUGUAACAUACUUGUCUUGAGAGAGAAACAAGCCAUCCUUCUUCUACAUAAUUUGAAUCCCCAGAAAAUAGGGUAGUGGUCCCAAGUCUUUGAUAUCAAACUCCCUGGUGAGUGAAUGAAUAACCUCAGUGAUUGCUUGGUUUGCACUGCCAGUGAUAAUAAUGUCAUCCACAUAUAAGAGUAAAAUUACCACAGUGUUGUCAACAACUUUCACAAACAAUGAUGAAUAUGCAUAUGUGGAUUUGAACCCUAAAAAUGGUAGAAAGGUGGUGAAUCUCUCAUUCCAGGCCCUUGGUGCUUGUUUCAAUCCAUAUAAAGACUUAUGUAAUUUGCAAACAUAAUCUUCGUGUUUGAUAUCAACAAAUCCAGGUGGUUGUGCUAUAUACAUCUCUUCUUGCCUUAUGCCAUGAAGGAAGGCAUUUUUCACAUCCAACUAUCUCAAUGUCCAACCAAAGUGUGCUGAUAAAGCUAAAACUAAUCUCACUGUUGUUGGUUUAACAACUGGACUAAAAUUUUCCCCAUAGUCAAUCCCUUCUUCUUGGUUAAAGCCUUUAGCUACCAGUCGUGCCUUAUACCUCCUAAUUGACCCAUCAGCAUUUUUUUUAUCUUAAAGACCCAUUUGCAACCAACUAAGUUCUUGUGUUUUUGUAGGGGAACCAAAGACCAUGUACCUUGAUUGUGUACUGCUGAAAUAUCAUCUUUCAUAGCCUCAUGCCAUACUGGAGUUUUUAAGGCAAAUAUGUAUGUUGCAGGUUCAACUUUAGUAAAGUCAACUCCUCCAUUUUCAUGAACAGCAACAAGGAGAGCAAUCUUCUUAACAAUGCCACUCUUUGACCUUGUCUAUAUAGGGUGAAGAUUAACUGAAGGAAUGGAGAGAACCACUUGCAAUUGUUCAGGUUGAAAUUCAGGUACCACAGGGAGUGUAGAAGACAAGGGUUGUGUUGUUGGUGUAGCAAUGGAUUGACUGCAAUUUGAAUCUUUUACAUCUGAGCUUGAAACUGUAACUGGAAUUGUAGUAGAGUCUUCUAAGAUUUGAUUAAUGACAUUAUUUGGUAACACACUAGGUGGAGGACCUGAACUUAAUUGUGUUGGACCAGGUGAAGAAUUCAUAGGGUAGUGAUGUUGUGAAUCUGGUAGAACAAGAACAUUGUUGUGAUCUGGAACUGAACUUGGUGUUUGUAUGAGUGAUGAUAGUGGUGAAGGGGAAGUAGACUGAUGUGUAGUAGUCAAAGAAUGAUAAGGAAACUAUGUCUCAUUAAAUAUCACAUAAACUUUGUUUCUAGACACAUUAUAACAGAUAAACCCUUUAUACUUGGAUGCAUACCCCAUAAAGACACAUUUGGUUGUUCCAGGGUCUAAUUUAGUGUUAUUGUAAGGCCUUAACCAAGGAUAACAAGAGCAGCCAAAAACUUUCAAAUGUUGGAUCUCAGGUUUAGAAUUAUGCAACAAUUGAAAUGGAGACAAAUUGUGCAAAGCAGGAGAUGGCAUUUUGUUAAUUAAGUACACUAAAGUUUAACAAGCAAAUGACCAAAACAGAGAUGGUAGAGAGGCCGUUUGUAACAAAGUGAUGGAUGUUUCAAUGAUAUGUCUCUAUUUUCAUUCUGCAAUGCCAUUUUGUUCGGGUGUGUGAGGACAAGACAUUUGAUGAUGUAUUCGUUUAUCAGAUAAGAACUUUUGAAAUGCCUUACUAAUAUACUCACCACCACUAUCACUUUCGAGAGUUUUAAUGGAUACUUGAAACUGGUUUACAAUAAAAUUGUAAAAGGAAACAAAUAUGGCAGAACCAUUACUUUUAUUGAAGAUAGGAAAAAUCUAGCAAUAUUUGGUACAAUGAUCAAUGAAAGUCACAUAGUAUUUAAAUACAAGGAGCAGGACCCCACACAUCACUAUGAACAAUAUCAAAAGGUUUGACAAACUUAACUACUGAAAGAGAAAAUGGCAAUUUGCUAAAUUUACCCUUUAAACAGGUUUGACACAGUGAAGUGUUCUAUGAGCAACACAGAAAACAUUGGAAGAUAUGAGAACUUGAAAGACUAUUGGAUUUGAGGGGUGACCUAGUCUCUUGUGCCAAAUACUGUUGGUAACUUAUUUUCACAAAAAAGCUGCAAGUUGUGUUUUGAAAUUGCUGCAUGAGAGUUUGGUGAGAUGAUGGUGUACAAUUCAUUGUUACACAACCCUUUAAAAAGUAUCCUUCCUGUGGCUUUGUCUUGAAUCCAAAAUGAAAAUGCAUCGAAGAUCAACCAACAAUGAUUAUCCAGACAAAUCUUAUGCACAAAUAACAGAUUUUGAGACAAUUUUGGCACAUAAGGGAUUGAAUUAAGUUUAAUAGAUUGCAUUAGAGUUAUGAGAAGAUUACUCUCACCAAUGUGAGAUAUUGCUAAACCUUCACCAUUAGUUGUCUAGAUUGUCUCAUUUGAUGCAUAUGGAGUUGCCAAUGAGAGAUUACUCAAAUCUAAAGUCAUGUGAUUAUUGGCACCAGAAUCAGUAAGCCAUACUGGUUGCUGUGAUGGUGUAGAUAAUAUUGUGAAUGGAGAAUAGGUACCAUUAGGUAUUGCAGCAUGCAUAGCACUGUUUUAAGAAGUAGAAUUCUUUUGAAAGCAUGUGUCUACAUUGUGAUAUAGGUUCCCACAUAUGAUACAUCCUGAGGGAGCACCUGUGUUUCGAUAUCUGCAAGUGUCAACAAGGUGGUUGUUCUUGUCACAAAUUUGGCAACCUUGUGAAGAAUUUGUAUUUAUGAAGCGACAUGUUGAGGCCAAAUGAUUGUUGUUGAUGCACAAAACUGGAGGUCUUGGAACAACGUAAAUCCGACUGUGAAUCUGAAAGAAAUGUAAAUAACACAAGAUGUAUUGUGGUUCACCCCAAUGUUUGGGCUACGUCCACACUGAUAUUGUAUUUCUCUGAGAUGUUGAAGAGGGAGAGAGAGAGAGAGCUUCUGCGGGUGAGAGAGUUCUUCUCAAUCUGAGAGGCUUGAGGGGGGGUAAGGAGGCUUGAAAAUUAUGAGGGUGAGGAGACCCUUUUAUAGACUAAGGGUUCCUCCCCUUUUUACAUAUUUGCCCCUUCCUUUAUUACAUAAUUACAUUUAAGUCCCCCGAGUAUUUAUACAAGAUCUAAAUACGGAGGCCCUAAGUAUGGUACAAACAGUAGUCCCCCAAGUCAUAAGUCAAGAGAGUCUUUUGGCUGGAGACUUGAAAUUCAAUCCAUGUGUGGGCUGAAGUAACUAGAUGUCGUCUAGGACCGAUACUCGAUAUGAGACGGUGCUCAAUCUGAAAUGAUGUUUAACUAGAAGUAGCACAUGUUGCGAGGCUGCUUGGCUUGUGGCUUAUGUUGCCUUGGUUGGCUCGGCUUGUGGUAUUGAAGGUGAAAGAGUCCAUUUUAUAGAAUAAGGGCGCUCCUCAAUACAUAAAUGAUAGGCUAGAGUUGAUGCUCACAUCGAGGCGAUUGCUCUGUAGGUGGUGAUGCUCUCUAAUGAAGGUGAAGGAGUCCCUUUUAUAAAAUAAGGGCUUGUUCAUCAGUACAUGAAUAAUGGGUUAUGAAUGAUGCUCGCGGUGAGGCGGUUGCUCAGCUGGCGGUGAUGCUCUCUAAUGAAGGUGAGGGAGUCCCUUUUAUAAAAUAAAGGCUCGCUCCUCUGUACAUGAAUAAUGGGUGCUCUCUAAUGAAAGUGAGGGAGUCCCUUUUAUAAAAUAAGGGCUCACUCAUCAGUACAUAAAUAAUGGGCUAAGUCCCCCAAGUAUUUUUCAUGAGGCCCAGUUGAGGCCCAAUAUAUGGUACAUAAUGUAGUCCUCCAAGUCUUCGGUCAAUAAAGUCUGUUAGCUGGAGACUUUAAAUUGAAUCCAUGUAUGGGCCAAAGUGGCGGUUGUUCGGAUGCGGCAUUUGUAUACCCUGCACUGAAGCUUUAUAGUUGAAGCUUUGCAAAUGAAGCUUUUGAAGCUGGAGCUUUGUAAAUGAAGCUUUUGAAGCUGGAGCUCUCUAAGCUGGGGCUCUGUAAAUGAAGCUUUUGAAGCUGAUUGACAUGAGUGAUGCCCAUGAAUGUUUAUGUUGAUUGACAUGAGUGAUGCUUAUGGAUGUUGACAUGAGUGAUGCUCAUGAAUGUUGACAUGAGUGAUGCUCAUGAAUGUUGACAUGAAUGAUGGUCAUGAAUGUUUAUUGAUGAUUGACAUGAGUGAUGCUCAUGAAUGUUUAUGUAUGAUUGACAUGAGUGAUGCUCAUGUAUAAUUUUGGAGUACUGGACGUACUUUUGAUCACCUGGUUGGUGAUAAUAGCGGCAGGCUGUUGAAUAAUUUUAGAGUACUGGGUGUACUUUUGAUCACCUGGUUGGUUGUAAUAGCGGCAGGCUGCUGAAUAAUUUUGGAGUACUGGGUUUACUUUUGAUCACCUGGUUGGUGGUAAUAGCGGCAAGCUGCCGAAUAAUUUUUUGUAGUACUGGACAUACUUUUGAUCACCUGGUUGGUGAUAAUAGAGGGCCUGGCUCGUUUGGGCAUAUAGGCCUUCGCCAUUCACAUAACAUUCCAGCCCAUUAUUUUGGGCUUGCCCUUUUUUAUUUUUAUUUUUAUUUUUUUAUUACCCUCUGAUGGGGUUUAUACAGAUGUAUUUGAAAGUUAAGAAAAAUAAAUCACAUCAGUCAAAAAUAAAUUCGACCCUCUGCUCAAUGAGUCACGCCCAUAAUUCCUUUUUCUGCAUGCCAUCACCACUGCAAUUAUGUCUGCUUCUUUUAUUUUCUUUUGCUUUUUGCUUUUACUUUCUCUUUUCCCUUUUACAGAUGGCAGACAAAGAAUGAUAAUAGAAUUAAUAAUAAGAAAUGAAUCUUAUCUCUGCUUUUGCUUUUCCCGUGGUAUUCGCAGGAGAUGGGAUCUGGGUCGGCGACUUUCCCGACCGUGAGGACCUUCGUAUCAUCAAGUAUCUUUGCUUUCUUAUUUUCUCACUCAUCUUCUUUCUUUCUCUUUCAUCGUCUUUUGAGCUCCCAACAUCACUCACUUCUUUGAGCUCCCAGCCUUCAGCACCUUAGAUCUGAAAAAUGUGUCGCUCAUAGAACGAGAUGGGUGUUAAAAUUCAAGCGUGAGCUUGUCUUUUUCCCCAGAGAGGAGGUGAAGAACAUAUGGGGUGGCUCGGAUCGCAACGACCCAAGCCCCGAACAUGGCAACAUGGCUUCGCAGCUGCUUCAGAGCCUCAGCUUUGUCUGGCUUCUACAUAAACAUCGGAAACAUUUUUCUUUAUCCGAUUCGUCUUUUCUUUCCUGCAAAGUGAUGUGACAAACGCAGCCUGACGUUUAAAACCCUAAAACCCUAGUUGGUGCUCUGCGAGAUCGGUCAUUUCUGAAAGUAGUGUCGGGGAUUGGAAAACUGGCAGUGGCGAUCGAUCCUCGGCCGUACAAGUAGAUAUGCGAAGAGUAGGGGAGGAUGCGCCUGGUCCCAGGGUUCCUGAGAGCGACCAUAGCCAUUGGAAUGAAGGAAGAAAUAGAAAGACAGAAACCACAGCCAUCGUUUUUACAGUGGCUGGACCCUUACCCAUUUUUACCUGAUCCAAGCUUUUGAUUUCUGCUGCUGUUCCUGCUCAGUCGAAGGAGCCACCUUCUUGGACGUAGCGGGCGUUCCAGUAAAGAGUGUCACCAUAGUUGUAGGUGUUGCAGCUCGACUCGUCCCUCAACAUCUCCUUUUGCUGCUGCUGCUGCUCUAAUGACUUAGUGGAUUUGACUAGACUACAGUUGGUGAACAGUCGAUGAAAGAAAAUGAAAGUAUGAGACAGAGAGAGAAAGAGGUUAUUGGAUUUCUAAGUUUUUGUGAUUUUGCAAAUUCAUGGUGGAGGUGAAAAAAUGAAAGAGAACCGACAUAGCUUUUCGUGUCAGUUCCCACAGACGGCGCCAAAUGUUGAUGCACAAAACCGGAGGUCUUGGAACAACGUAAAUCCGACCGUGAAUCUGCAAGUAAUGUAAAUAACACAAGAUGUAUCGUGGUUCACCCCAAUGUUCGGGUUACGUCCACACUGAUAUUAUAUUUAUCUAAGAUGUUGAAGAGGGAGAGAGAGAGCUUCUGAGGGUGAGAGAGCUCUUCUCAAUCUGAGAGGCUUGAGGGGGUGAAGAGGCUUGAGAAUUGUGAGGGUGGGGAGGCCCUUUUAUAGACUAAGGGCUCCUCCCCUUUUUACAUAUUUGCCCCUUCCUUUAUUACAUAAUUACAUUUAAGUCCCCCAAGUAUUUAUACGAGAUCUAAAUACGGACGCCCUAAGUAUGGUACAAACAAUUGUAUUUCCCACAAAUUUGACAAGUUUGAGACUAAAAUCCAUAGUUGUUUGAUCUAGGUGGUGAAGUACCAAGAAUUCCAGGAGCAGGACUUGAAUGACAGUUUUUGUGAUUACAAUACUUGGGAUUGAAAUUAGAAAUGGAUUGAUUCUUGCCUUUGGUAUUAUUAUUGAAUGACUUGUAUGCAUUUGAAUUGGGACUAGCAUGGUUGCCACCAAAAAUAGGAAAAGCCUGAUUCUUGGAAGGUAAGCUAUUGCUUUGUGCCAUCAAUGCAGACGACACAGGUGAAUUAGAGCCAUUUUCAAGCAAAAUUUCUUCAGCAAGUAAUUGAGAUCGAAGAUCUUUCGAUGAUAUCACAGUCCCACAACCCCUAAUCACAGAUCUUAUGGUAUUGAAUUCAGUAGGCAAACCAUUUAGUGCAACAAUCACAAUGUCAUCAUCAUCAAAGAAUACACCAGCAGCAAAUAAUAAAUCUCUUGCUUUAAUUGUCUGCAAAUAUAAUGUGAUAGAACCAUCACCAUUCUUUAUUGUCUAAAGCUCGAAUUUGAGUUGAAAGAUGCUUGUUCUUGUGACUGUGGAAAAUUGUUCUUUAAGGCGAUUUCGCAGUUCUUUGGAGCUAGUGUUUCCAUUUACACAAGAAACUGCAGUAGGAGACAAAGUUGCAGUAAUCAAUUGCAUUAAUGCCUUAUCAUGCAUCUUCCCAAUCUUGUAGUCAUUAGAUGGAACCCUUGUAGAGGAAUCGCCAAACAAAAUUGCCAAAUUAUCAGAGGAAUCUUGACUAAAUCAAGUAGGGUAAGGCAUUGAACCAUCAACAAAACCAAUUAUGAUAUGGCCUUCAAGAAGUAGUUGCAUCUGGAAAUGCCAAGCCAAAUAGUUCAUCUCAUCCAAUUAUGCUAUUGAACUUGAGACAGAUGAAAUCAAAGAAGUAAUCAGAAACUGUAAGAUCUGUAACUGAGCAACUGUGACCAUUGUUGCAGAUUGUAGAGAAAUCACAAAGAAUCUUGAGUGAAACUAAAUCACAAACAGUUGGUAGGCACCCUGUGGAGAUUGAAGAACCGAAACAAGGAUUGAAGAUAAAGCACACCAAUAUACCAAAAAACUAUCACCACUAUACCAAAAAAUGAUCACAAUAGCAGAAGCAAUUGAAACCAAGAUCAACAAACAGUCAAGCUUCCAUACUUGUUUUGCGAUGAUACCAUGUAAACCAUUAUAGGCUAUUGAAGAAGAAGGUUAUAUAGAAGCAAGAAAGAAGAAAAGAUAAAGAUAGAAGUAGAAGAUUGAGAGAUUGGAGAGAAGAAUCUGUUGAGAAUUAUAGUAUCUUUUCUUAUCAGUUACAAUGGUUUGUUACAAGUUAUAUAUGAAAGCAUUUGGUAGAAUACACUCUAAGUAACAAUAUAACCAACUUAACUAACUUCAUAAUCUUUUGACACUUGUCCAUUUCAUAACCAUUGGAUCUUAAUACUCCUAACACAUUCUUCCCUUUCUGUAUUCUCUCCCUUCCUCUCUUUUAAGCUGCUACAACAGCCAAGGCAUAACCCUUCAGCAAAGCCAACACGGGUGGUUAAACCCAUAACAAAUAUCCUAGAAUCCUCUCUUUAUAUCCAAUCCAAAUCUCUAACUUAUUUCAUCAAAUUCGAAGUUGACAGGUUUGAACUUCAAAUUUAUGUUGUAAAAGUUCGUGGAUUUUCCGGUGGAUUUGCUCUGGUUAAAGGUGGCCAAUUCUCUGUUUUUAUGGGGUUUGUGGGAUUUGACAACUAUCCAAAUGGGAAAAUAGGGUUGGUAUCAGAACCUAGUUAAGAUUUUGUUAGAAAUCUGGAUCAGGUAUGUGUUGUGUUUGAAGGAUUAGAUCAGGUUUGGGUUAGGAUGGUGGGGCUAUAGGUGGGGUAGCGGCAGAGAAGGAUUUGGGAAGGGAUGGUGCUGGGGUUUUUGGGGAAGAACAGAGCAUGCUGCUACUGUUGCAACUUGAAAGGGAAGAAGGGGAAGAAGGGUGAGGUGUUGGGGUGGGCCCCACUUCUCUUUAAAAUACAUUUUUAAUUGAUUUAUUGGGAAGUGUUAUUGGCACUCCAAAAAUCUUAUUCUACACUCCUCACAAGUGUAUUUUUCUUUCCUAAUAUAGAAAGUUUGGAGUGUAGAAUGAGAUUUUUGGAGUGCUAAUAGCAAUUCCCGAUUUAUUUUAUAGUUUUAUUUUUGGGAAUUGUUAUUAGCACUCCAAAAAUAUCAUUCUACACUCUUCACAGGUGUAUUUUUCUUUCUAAUUAUAGAAAGUUUGGAGUGUCAAAUGAGAUUUUUGAAGUGUUAAAAACAAUUCCUUUAUUUUUUUUAUCUACAUGGUCUUCGACGUCAUAGAAUAUGAGCAUUUAACGGUGAAUUUAACAAAUUAAUUAAUGGAAGUCUGACAUUGCAAUGAAUUUAUAAAUUAAGGUAUGAGAUUAUGGUUCAACCCAUAGUUAAGGUACUUUUUUGUAAUUUACUCUAAAAAUAAAUAAAUAAAUAAAACUCAAUAUGUUUUUAACUUAUAAGACAUAUUUAAUUUACAAUAUAUACACUAUGACUAUUGUAUUUUAUAGUAGGUGAUUUUAAUAUAUUAACUUUGUAAUCAUCAAAAUAUUUUUUUUUCUUAACGGGUCGAAACGGGUUACCCACGAGUUAAUUGCGUAUAAACCCGUUAAGGACCCUUUCUUAACGGAUUCUUAACGUAUGACCUGAUAACGAUCCGAUUAGUUAUUAUGUUGACUUGAAAUCCAUUAUUUGCGUGUUGUGUUAUUAGGUUGUGUAAGAGAUUGCCAGUUAUUCUGUAACAAAGGAUAAACUAUUUUGGAAAUAAAGGAUUACAUAAAUAAUUAGUCUUAUGUGAUAUCCACAAUAAUGAUCAAAUGAAUGAUACAAAAACAUUACGAUAGAAUUAGAUUUUGUUUGCAGUAACCAAACAUAAAACCAAUAUCUAAUUACAUCAAAUUUGAGACAUGUAAUUGUGAUGCCUACAAUUUUAUGAAUGACAAAUAAAAUUACUGUUGAAAUCAAUGAUACACAAGAGAUAAAUAAUCCAUUAAAAUGGGGAUUCAUAAUUAUUUUAUUUUCACAACCCCUUAAUUUUCUCUUCAAAUUCCUCCUUUCCAUUUCAAUCAGUCUUGCUUCAUAUUGCAAAUCACACAGUUGCUUGCAAUAAGCCAUCAGCAAGCAAUAGAUCAUGUGUUAUUAUAAAUUUUAAAAAAACAUGUACUGUGGAGCAAAAAAUAAUCGAGACAAUUAUUACUCAAUCAAGGUCAAGGUAUUUAUUCAAAACAUAUUUUAUCCAUCCUCAUCAAAUCCUCUCCACAAGGUAACUCCUAAAUUAUUUCUUUCAAAUUAUAUUAAUUAGCUAAUUAAUGGAUUUAUUACUCAAUUAAUUUAUUAAUUAGCUAAUUGAUUGUAAUUAACAUCAAAGAUGCCUCAUAUGGCCGGUUCCCAUUCUCCUAAUAGCGCCGGCCAUACCCCUAUAAAUACCCCUUCAUUUUCUCCAAAAACCUAAGUUGAAUCCUCUUGCAAAUUUCUCUAAAGUAUCCUAACACUUUUCCCCCAAAAUUCUAACUUUGUUAUUGGAGGUUCUUCGGCCAAAGUCCCCCCCAUUCAUCGUGGGUGUGUGAGGCUCUUGGCCUUGACCUAAGGUGUUAAUUGUUUUUGCAAGUGCAUUUUUGUCCAAGAACAAGAAGGAAGAAAUUUGAAUCCACAAAUUGGUGCUUUCAUUGAGAGUCUUGAUCAAAUGCUCAUAAAAGACUCUCGCAUUCAAGGUUUUUUAGUUUUCUUGUUCAUUUGUAGAUUUUUCAUCCGUUCUUAUUCUUUGAAUUUUUAUUUCUAAAAAUUCUUCGAUAAAACGUAAAAGAAAAGUACAAUGGCAAGAGAUUCGGAAACCUCGACGAACGAAAAUUCCAACAUUCAAGAAUUAGGACCGUGACAAUCUACAAGGCUCAACACAACGAUGAGUGGAGCGGCACCCCCACAGGCCACCACUGUGGCCAUCUUCGGCAAAACCCAUGGCUCCAAGGCCACGACCCAAGCUGUGCCACUUCAACCUUCAAGGGCCCAAGCCCUAGUCAAGCCGGCCUGAGCCGCCCAAACCCAAUGCGUUGCUAAGCCAAGCCUUAACCUCGCACCGACGUGUGCCACACACCAAGCAACCAAUUCCCGUGGCCCAGCUUGCUCCCGUGGCUUUCUAAGUAGCACAAAUCAGUCCAAGAUUAGUUCAACCGUCCCAGCUUCAAAUUUCUAAGCCUACGAUUGAACUGUGGGCAUUUUCACCACACUUCUCUGCGGACUUGACACUCCCCAAUUUGAAUCUCGAACCCAAAGUCUACCACACUUCCACUGCUCAAGAAGAUGCAUUUCUUUCAAGCUCUUCCAAUCCAAAUGGUGAAUAACACUUGUCUUGACAAGUCAUAGAGUUGAUGACCACCCUCGCACAACAGAUGACCUUGAUGAAUCAACUCUUGCAGUGCACCGAGAUGCAAUGUGCCCCAGACAAGGGCAGACGAAAAACCUUUCCAGCAGCGUCCCGGAAAGCAGCCACUCGACCAGCCACGAAUUGUGCGUUCGGGUAGUGUACACUCCCACGGACGAGCAUACAUUCACAGGUGGGGCCACACUUCGAUAGUCAACACGAGCAACCUUUCAGGCAAAGUGUUCAUUCUCGACUAGACCCGCAAGGAGCAUCAUCCACUUCAUAUAGGAGUAGGCAGCACGAAUGACAAAGAGAAGCAGUCACUCGGUCCGGUUCAAACUCAACCAACAGCUUGCAAAGAAUUCCCUUACUUGCUAGGAGCGAACCACAUGCACCGCAGCCACAGCAUAGACAAGCUGAGCAAGUAGAAAAGCAGCUUAAACCAGCAUGUUAAGAUUGGGGGCAGCCGAGAGCUCCACUACCCUAACAAAGGUAGAUAUAAGAAGAGGUAGAAAGGUUCUUAAAUGAGCACGAUUUCCAACGCAACGAAGUCAUUGAUGAAGUACUACGAUAGGACAUGAUCAACAUGAGCAGGUUACCCUUCACAGACGAGAUUGAGCAAGCAGAGCCCCUACGCAAGUUUAGCAUGCCACAUUUCACAUAUUUCAAAAGAGAUGGAUAAGCAUUACUGAAGCACAAUGGUCCUUUAUUGGAACAACGAUGCCAUUAAGUGCAAGAUAUUCACCACUAUUUUGCAAGACGAGGAGCAAGAUUGGUUUCACACCAUGCCACCAUAAUCCAUCCAAAGUUUUGAUGAUCUUUCCUUGGCUUUUACCAAAGAAUUACUUAUCUAACUACCCGAUUAAGAAAAAGUCCGACCACUUGUUCAACGUGAAAAAGAACCCAAAAAAGUUGCUUUGUGACUACGUGAAGAGGUUCAAAGCAGAAAAGGCCAAGAUAGUUGGAUGCGAAGACUUGAUAGCAAGUGCAGCCUUCCAAAAAGGACUUCUAGCAGACCACUCACUGUUCAGGGAAUUGACCAUGAAAGAAGAACUAACUCUGGCAGACUCUUUUGCUCUAGUAGAGAAGCAUGCACUUUGGGACGAGGCUCGACAAGAAAACAAGGCUCACGAGAAGCCUCUAAAAAGUCGGUAGUGGUUCAAAAGAAGGAAGACGGGAAUUAGUACAAUAAAAGCAUGCAGGAAGCUAAGCGUAAGGACUGACCCACUACCAAAGAAGGCUCGAUAACCAAUAAUUACUCUAAGUUCUCAAUCACGAUCCACCAAAUCAUUUGCGACAUUAAGAACGAACCAUGGUUCAAGCUACCGAAAUAAUCAAAGGAAGAUACUUCCAAGUUGGAUCACACCAUGUAUUGCACAUUCCACCGAGAACCCGAUCACACAACUGAUGACCGCUACACUUGGAAGAACUACCUGGAAAAGCUGGUGAAAGAAGGCAAGGUCGGCAGAUACUUAGAUAAGCCAGCUGCACAGCUUAGAAGGAAUGUAGAUGACAACGAAGAGUCGCCAACCAAGACGAUUCGGAUCAAUGGCAUCUUUGCCAAGUACAAGCACUUGGGGACCACCAACAACUCAAAAAAAAGAAGAUGCAGCAGGCUUUACUAGUUUCACAAGUCUAAGCAGUUGACACCCAACUUGGAUCCAUCAUUGGCUUUACUGAGCAGGAUGCAGAUGACGUCGACUUCCCACACGACGAUGCAAUAGUAGUAUCUUUCCAACUAUCCCAUGCUAUAGUCGACAUAAUGAUGGCUAACAAUGGAAGUGCGAUCAAUCUACUUCAACUCUUAGUAAUUCAAAAGAUGGGUCUGGAAAGCACAAUCAUAUGCCAAGCGGAGGUCUUCACUGGAUUCAACGGAUACACCUCGACUACCAUCGGCCACAUCACAUUUGACAUGAAAACACCGCCAGUUUUCUCAAAGCAGACAUUCACGAUUGUAAGCAACCCAUCUCCCUAUAAUAAGAUUGUUGAGAGACCUUGGUUGAUCAAUCUGGAUGCCGUCACUUCCGUCAAGUAUCAAAAAAUCUGAUUCCGCAUCCCGGGAGGAAGAGUAGGAGAAAUCAAGUCUGACCAAGCCGCAUUUCUAUGAUGCACUGUGCAAGUAUUUAAAGAAUAAAAGAGGAAGACCUUUACCCCCAUAAAGGCUACCGAGGUUUGAAAGGACGAAGAAGCUACCCAAUAGCAAUUAUAGCAGGUGGAUUAAGAAGAUGGUGCCCAAGAAAACGAGAUAAGAUGGAAACCCAAAGAGAACACUGAGGACAUUAUUCUUGAUCCCCAAUAGCCAGACAAGACAGCUAGAAUUGGCUUACAUCUAAGCCCAACCGAAAUGGAAAAACUCACGACUUUCUUUAGAAAAAUCAUGACGUCUUUGCAUGGUCACCUUCCGACAUGCUCGACAUCGAUCCCAAGAAAGCUUGCCACAAGCUCUACAUCAACCAUGCUGCUAAACUGGUGAUCCAAAGAAGAAGGCAUUUUGCACCUGAAUGAGUGACGAUCAUCGAAGUGGAAAUUAACAAGCUAUUGGAGGCCGAAUUUAUAGAAUAGGUAGUGCACUCAGCAUGGCUUGCCAAAGUCCUGCUAGUAAAGAAGAAAGAGACAAAUGAAGGGUAUGCGUAGACUACAUUGACCUCAACAAAGCAUGCCUAAAGGAUUCUUAUCCACUUCCCCAAAUCGAUCUAUUAGUAAAUUCAACUUCUGGGAACCAGCUACUUAGUUUCUUGGACGCCAAUUCUGGCUAUAACCAAAUAGCCAUGUACGAGCCUGACAAAGAGAAAACCACGUUCAUGAUUGAGCAAGGCACCUACUGCUUCAAGGUCAUGCCCUUUAGCCUCAAGAACGCGGGAGCUACUUACUAAAGGUUAGUAAACAUGAUGUUCAAGAAGAAAAUUGGAGAAACUAUGGAGGUUUACGUCGACAAAGUCAUGGUGAAUGGAAAGUAGCGGUCAAACCACAUCGGUAACGUAGUGGAAACUUUCAACAUCUUUAUAAAGUACAAGAUGAAGUUUAAUCCCUCCAAAUGCACAUUUAGAGUAUCUUCAAGAAGAUUCUUAGGGUACCUAGUAACCCAACGAGGAAUUGAGGCACAUCUUAUACAAAUCCGAGCAAUCCUAGAGAUGAAAUAUCCAAUUACCUUGAAAGAGAUCCAAAGCUUAACCGGACGAGCAGCCGCCUUCAACCACUUUCUUUCGCAAUCCAUUGAUCGAUGCAAACCUUUUUUCAAGGCCAUCAAGAGGGCACAACGACACAAAUGGGAUGAAAAGUGCGAAAGAGCUUUCUAAGACCUGAAGAAGUAUCUCACAUCACUUCCCUUACUAUCCAAGCAGGAAGCAGUGGAUGACUUAUACAUCUACUUGGUAGUCUCAGAAGUAGCAGUGAGCUCUGCCCUCAUACGAGAAAAGCUGAAGACCCAACUGCCAGUAUCCUACAUUUCUAAAGCUCUUCUCGAUGCGGAAACUAGAUACCCGAAGAUUAAAAAGUUAAUUUUGGUGCUAGUUGUUGCGGUUAGGAAGCUCAGACCAUACUUUCAAGCUCAUAUAAUCAUCGUCAUGAUUCAAUAUCAUCUACGAUCAAUCCUACAUGGUCCUUGGAACUUGGCCAAUAUAGUUUAGUUUUUCGACCCCGCACGGCGAUAAAGGCCCAAGCCUUGGAGGACUUCAUAGCGGAUUUCAUGCCUAGCCUAGGUGACGUAACAGAGCGGCCCAACGAUGCCCCAGAAGUAGCCAAGCACACCUUAACCGUGCCUGCUCCCCCCAACGGAGACUUUUGGCAUUUGCAUGUCGACAACUCAUCAAACUACAAAGGCUUGGGAGUAGGUGUGGUCUUUAUCACCUUAGACGGUUCAAUGCUCGAGCAGGCAAUCAUUCUAGGCUUCAAAGUGCUAACAACGGAGCAGAGUAAGAGGCCUUACUAGUAGGCAUCCGAAUGGUAAAAAACUUGGCAGUGAAAAAACUCGCAAUUCAUUCCGAUUCCUAACUAAUCACCAGCAAGACUACAUGGGAGUACAUGGCAAAACAUCCAAGGAUGGCGUAAUACCUAAAAAAGGUACGCAAGUAGCUUGAGGCAUUUCACACUUACACUCUCACUCAAGUUUCACGAGCAGACAACGCCAAUGUAGAUGCGCUAGCCGGCCUAAGCUCCGCCUUCGACCACUAACUCAAACACUUUAUCCCGAUGAAGUAUCUAGACAAGCCAAGCAUAGAAGUGGAGCCGGCAACCGAAGUGUCACAGGUUAGUAUAACUCCCAACUAGUAAGUUCUAUUAUAAACAACCUGGUCAAUGGCACACUCCCCACGGAAAGGUUGAAUUCUAGAAAGCUUCAAAUAAAGGUAGCACACUGCUACACUUCAUAUGGAGGAACAUCAUUUGCCAAUUUGGCAUCCCUCAAUCCAUCGUCACUGACAACGACAUGUAAUUUAUAGGCAAAGAUUUGGCGAAGUUCUUCCAAAAGUAUGACAUCAAGCAGCACAUGUCCACGCUAAGAUAUCUUGAAGGCAAUGGGCAAGCCGAAGCAUCUAACAAGAUGAUUCUUGACUGCCUCAAAGAAAUCCCUUUCCAACAAGAAGGGAAAGUGGCCAGAUGAACUUCCCGAAUGUCUAUGGGUAUAUCGUACCACUAAAAGAUGAGCAGCUAGUGAGACUUCUUUCUCUUUGGUAUUUGGCUUAGAAACAAUCAUUCCUCCUAAUGUCUGAUGCGAAUUUGACUUAACACACAAAUUAAACCCUCUUGUAUCAAUUGUAGUAAAGAAUGUAAGUAGGGAUCGUUCUGGACCAGGGAUUAGGAGGGCUUGCUAAUAACCUCUAAACUGACUUAAAAACAUAAAAUUAAGUUUAAAACACCAAACUAGACUCAAAAGAUGCAAUACAAAUUAAAAAGACUCAAAACUAGUUUAAAAGACUCAAAACAGCUUAAAAUAAUGAAUUAGACUCUAAACUGACUCUAGGGAUGGUUUUGGACGAAAUUAGGUUCUAACUUGACUCAAGACACUUAAAAACACAAAUCAAAACAAAUUUUGACUAAUAAAACACUUUAAAGUGAAUGGGGAUUUGAUUUUGACGAAUUUGAAAACAAAACAAGUAAAUUAAAAAACUAAUGAAAUCUGCACAAAUUUAAGUAAAUUGAAUGGAUGGAAGGCUAGCUAGGAGGUUCUUCUCCACACCUGACAUACUUGCAAAUAAAUAAAUUUUUAGUUGUUCUUUCGAUCAAUCAUGAAACUCAACACCCAAGGUUAAUUAAGUCGCUUAAAUUAACCUUCAAGUUCUCCUUAAGCUAUGGAAUUGGAUGGGAAAGCGCAUACAACAAUUCAAGCAUUCUUCAAAAGUUCUUUACAUGAACAGCACAAUAAAGAUACAAUCAAAGAUCAUUAAGCAUUAUGAAAACUAUAAGUAUUGACGAGGCAUUCGUUACUACGAUGAGCAUGAAACUCCUGCCAAGAAUUUAUUUAACGCGAUCGUUUAUAAGUGACCUCCACUACUUGUGAAUAUAAGUUUGUAACUAUUAGGUGAAACUCCCUUAUACUCUAGCAUCAUAUUCAUGCAUGCAAACUAAGUGUGCACUCUUAAUAAACAUACACGAAUAAGUUAUCAAUCAAGCAGUUAAACAAAUUGAAUUCACAACUUAUGAAAUCAUAACUGAAGGUAAUCAAAUCAUAUUGCAAGCAUGAACAUGGUUUCGAAUUCCCUCCUAGCUAGGGGGGUUUAGUUCCUCAUACUUACAAAGCAAAGAUAAACAAAUUUAGACAUUGAAAACAAAAGAAAGAAAACACCUAAAAAUGCUCCAACAAUCCAACUUGAAUGGCAAGCACGUCCAAGGGUCCUCUUUCUUCUCUUUGUUACGGCACAAGGUGUGGUUUGAUGGAUGAGUAAUAAAUUAUGGUGGUGGAUAGAUAUAGGUGAGUUAUGGUGAAGGGUGGAGGGGUGGAUUGUGUUCUCUCUGGUUUGCUUCCCCCUUGUUAUGGUGAAGGGUGGAUGUAUUUAUAGGCUAGGGAGAGGACCACCAUCUAAUUAAGGUGGUAGUAAUGAGUGUUGUGGUAAUGAGUGGAUGUAAUGGGUGUGGUGGAUGGAUUUUUGGUAAUGAGUGGAUGUAAUGGGUGUAGUGGAUGAGUGUUUGGUAAUGAGUGGAUGUAAUGGGUGUAGUGGAUGAGUGUUUGGUAAUGAGUGGAUGUAAUGGGUGUAGCGGAUGGAUGUUUGGUAAUGAGUGGAUGUAAUGGGUGUGGUGGAUGGAUGUUUGGUAAUGAGUGGAUGUAAUGGGUGUAGUGGAUGAGUGUUUGUAGUUGUAGGUCAACACACUUGCACACACACAUGCUGAUUUCUAGCCUUCUAAUCUUCAAAAACGUCCAUCCUCAUGUCUCCAUGCUUGCACUAUCCAAUCUUGGCCCAAAAAUGCUCCAAAGUGCUCCAAAUAGCACUUUGUUGCCAACUUUGUUAUUUGAACCUACAAACACACGAAAAUAGCUUAAAGUACUAAAAUAACUAGAAUUAAACUAAGUAAAUGCCAAGAAACAAGCUCACUAAGUUGCAUAAAUAUGCUCCUAUCAAUGUCAUCGUGUCAAGUAUCAGCACUGUACUGCAAAACAUUGAGUAUAAUAGUAAGGAGAUGGCCACAAGCUUAGAUCUAUUAGAGGAGAAUCAUGAGCAGACCAUCACCCAAAUCCCAACUUACAAGUAGCAACUUCUUUACAGCUACAACAAAUGGGCCAAGAUCCGGUAGUUCUAACCCUGAGAUCUAGUCUUAAGAAAAACCUUCAUCACUGCAUGCAGAGAAGGCUCCAAAAAGAUGGAUCCCAUUAAGGAAGGUUCGUACAAGAUCAGCAGAGUAGGCGGCAAAGGUAAUUACACUAUCGCCGCCAUGAACGACAAAGAGAUCAAAAAGUAGUGGAACGCCUACAAUUUGAGGAAGUACCAUGUGUGACCUCCCACUACAUCAAAGCCUGAAGAACUCAAGUAGCUCAACAUGCACCACCUCGCGAACCGAGGAUUAUCCAAUUGUUAUACAUUUCUACUUUACGGCUAAGUUUUCGUGCGUUUCACUCAUUUUUCAAUGAGUAAUUCAGAAGUAAUUUACAACUUGGAUCGACUACAUGUCUACAACAAUUGAUCACUCCUGCACUUCAAAAGAAUACCGCACCAUUCUUAGGGACUUACCAUAGAAAUUGCACCCCCCCCCGAGGGACCAACCAUGCUCUCCAAUAUAAUAGGGUAAACCAAUUCCCUAACACCCACAUUGGUCUGUUCUCCAAAACGGAAGGAUAAACUCCACACACCGAAUAUCUAAACGUGGAUAAGCUAGGCUGCCCUAGUAUAGCUAGGAGCAUAUUUAUGCAACUUAGUUAGCUUGUUUCUUGGCAUUUACUUAGUUUAAUUCUAGUUAUUUUAGUACUUUAAGCUAUUUUCGUGUGUUUGUAGGUUCAAAUAACAAAGUUAGCAACAAAGUGCUAUUUGGAGCAUUUUGGAGCAUUUUUGGGCCAAAAUUGGAUAGUGCAAGCAUGGAGACAUGAGGAUGGACGUUUUUGAAGAUUUGAAGGCUAGAAAUCAGCAUGUUUGUGUGCAAGUGUGUUGACCUACAAUUACCAAAUAUCCAUCCACUACACCCAUUACAUCCACCCAUUACCACAACACUCACCCACUACACCCAUUACAUCCACUAAUUACCAAACACUCACCCACUACACCCAUUACAUCCACUCAUUACCAAACAUCCAUCCACUACACCCAUUACAGACACUACAUUCACAUCUCACAACUCCAUACACUUACACUUUCAUUCCUUGGCCGAGAGAACACAAUUCACCCAUCCACCCUCCACCAUAACUCACCUAUAUCCAUCCACCACCAUAAUUUACCACUCAUCCAUCAAACCACACCUUGUGCCGCAACAAAGAAAAGAAGGAGGACCCUUGGACGUGCUUGCCAUUCAAAUUGGAUUGUUGGAGCGUUUUUUAGGUGUUUUCAUUCUUUUGUUUUCAAUGUCUAAAUUUGUUUAUCUUUGCUUUAUGAGUAUGAGGAACUAAACCCCCCUUAGCUAGGGGGGAAUUCGAAACCAUGUUCAUGCUUGCAAUAUGAUUUGAUUACCUUCAGUUGUGAUUUCAUAAGUUGUGAAUUCAAUUUGUGUAAUUGCUUGAUUGAUAACUUAUUCUUGUAUGUUUUUUAAGAGUGCACACUUAGUUUGCAUGCAUGAAUAUGAUGCUAGAGUAUAAGGGAGUUUCAACUAAUAAUUACAAACUUAUAUUCACAAGUAGUGGAGGUCGCUUAUAAACGAUCACGUUAAAUAAUUCUUGGCAGGAGUUUCAUGCUCAUCAUAGUAACGAAUGCCUCGUCAAUACUUAUAGUUUUCAUAAUGCUUAAUGAUCUUUGAUUGUAUCUUUAUUGUGCUGUUCACGUAAAGAACUUUUGAAGAAUGCUUGAAUUGUUGUAUGCGCUUUCCCAUCCAAUUCAAUAACUUAAGGAGAACUUGAAGGUUAAUUUAAGCGGACUUAAUUAACCUGGGGUGUUGAGCUUCAUGAUUGAUUGAAAGAACAACUGAAAAUUGGUUUAUGUGCAAGUAUUUCAUGUGUGGAGAAGAACCUCCUAGCUAGCCUUCCAUCCAUUCAAUUUACUCAAAUUUGUGCAGAUUUCAUUAGUUUUUUAAUUUACUUGUUUUGUUUUCAAAUUCAUCAAAACCAAAACCCCCUUUACUUUAAAGUGUUUUAUUAGUCAAAAUUUGUUUUGAUUUGUGUUUUGAGGUGUCCCAAAAGUGUGUUAGAGUCCAAAUUUGCCCAGUUUGUGUUUUUAGGCAGAUUUGAGCGUUUUUAGCUUGUUUUGAGUCCUUUGAGUUUGUUUUAAUUUCUUUGAGUCUAGUUUAGUGUUUUUAGCUUUGUUUAUAUGUUUUUAAGUCAGUUUAGAGGUUUUAGCAAGCCCUCCUAAUCCCCGGUUUAGAACGAUCCGUACUUGCAUUUAUACUACAAUUUGACAACAAAAGGGUUUAAUUUGUGUAUUAAGUUAAAAUUCGCAUCAAAUUUUUGGCACCGUUGCCGGGGAUUAGCAACUUUGCUAAUCCCUUGUUAUUUCUUUUUGUAUAUUUUCGUGUCUUUUGUUUUUAGUUACUGAGUUUGUUUCUGUUUUUGUUUUUUUUUUUUUUUGUUUUACUUUUGAUAUUUGAUUUAGUUUUGUUUCCUUGAUUUUAGGUACUAGAGAAGUAAGACAUGGAUUUUGCUACCAUUCACGCUCAAUUGGCGAAACUUACUUCUCAAUUGUCACAAUAUCCCGAAAGGACCACAAUGCAAAGUGUCCCUACAUAUGGUGUGUCCUAUGGGCAAGGAUAUCCAACUCAUCAAUGUUCUCAAUUAGCUAAGAAUGAAGAUGCUUGGGGUUAUCAAGGCCAUAGCCAAUCAUGGGACAACAUGUUUUCCAACGCUUACAAUUCGGAUUGGAGAGAUUAUUCAGAUUACAUGUGGGGAGAACCUCAAUAAUUCCAACAAGAUGGAUAUUGGUAGCAAAAAGAGGAGUUCUAUUUAAGACCUAUGCAGCCACCACAACCUCCUCCACAACAAUUCCAAUCAAAUUCAAGUAUGCCUAUGAGUUAUGAUGAAAUUCUUGAUGUACUAACCUCGUUGACGCAGGGCUCACAACAAGAAUAAUAUUUGCCGCCAUCGGAUGAGUUCUAUCACUGGCCAUAUGAACCAUCACAGCCACCACAACAAUCUGCCCAAUUCAAUUCAGGUACGUCUUUGGAUAAUGAUAUGUUUAAUUAGUUACUCACCACUUUGAACCAGGAAGUAGAAAAUCGAAACAAAGAGAUGCAAAAUCAAGCCAAGAUGACGGGUGAAUUGGAGAAGCAAAUUGGGCAGAUUAUGAAGUUCAUGGCACAAAUUCAAGAGCAAAGUGAACUCUCCAACUCAACUAUUGAAAAUUUGAAGGAAGAUUUUGAAAUCCAUGAUGCCAUCACUUUGGGAAGUGCUAUGGAGGUUGGAGGUGAACCCAAGACAUCCAAACCAAGCCAAAACAUGGAUGAACAACUGCUGCUCAAAGAAGAGGAGAAUAACAAGGCCACGGCAAGGGAAGAACCACCCUUGCCGCAGCCCCAUAUGCCCUAUAUGUCGUCCACUACAACCAAGGUAAGCCUAAAUUCAAUUUGUCUUGACCCCGUUUCACCAAAUGUCCUUAUUCCUUGCAGGAUCAUGCAAUCCAAGGAAGAAGAAGGUGAGAAAGGCAUAUUCGAAACCUUUCCAAAUAAUCAAAAGCAAGAAGUGGAUGGGGAAUGUCUAGAAUUUAUCAAAGAAGAUACACUUGAGAUGAAAAUUCCCAAAGAAGUUGGAUUUUAUGACACAGGAAAAGUUAUAACUCUUAAAACACCAAAUCUGGCCAAGUCCCAUAUCCCUGAUGUGGUGUUCGUAAUUGAGUUUGUGUUGGACCAAGCAAGUAAGCCAUCUUCUCCAACUUCGAUUUUAUUAUAUAUUAACUUACUGAUUUUGAUGAUUCAGGCACCUACACUAGAAUUUAAACCAUUGCCGGAUCACGUCAAGUAUCACUUUCCAAUCAAGGAUCAAUUCUAUGCUAUGGGCCUUAUCCAAGUUUAGAAGGAAGUUUAGUCCGGCUGGAAGACGUUAAAGCAAGCGCUUCUUGGGAGGCAACCCAUGUAUUCAAAUAAGGAAGAUUUUUGAAUUGCUCCACGAUUGGUUUUGCGUUCCUAAAAACCUUCCCUUUUUUGUAGUUUUAUUUUGCUAUGAUUGUCAUUUUUAUUUGUUGCUUGUUUAAUUGUUUUUUGUGUGGGUUUAUUUUUGAAACAUUGACAGAUAUGCAAGGUAUUUUACAUUCAUUUUCAUAAAAAAAAAAAAUAAAGGGAACAUUAAGCAGAAAAAUACAAGAGAGAGCCUUCACAAAGGUUGCUUAGGAGAAGUCUCAGUAGUCGGCAGAGCCUCAGCAGUUGGCGGAGCCCCAGAAGGAGGAGGCAUUGGAGGUUGAUCAUUUGGAGCUUUAUUACACGGUACAACCCCAGAAGACAAAGGCAAAUGUUGUUGGAACAAACCCACAAACAUCUGAUGAUCAAGUAAAAACCAUCAGAUUCCUGCAUCUGGUCAAUCUUCCUCUUCAUGUUUGUAGCAUAGUUAUGUGCGAGCCUGUGCAACUGUGUAUUCUCAUGCUUAAGCCCUCUAAUCUCCUGCUUGAGACUCAUCACUUCAGCCGCCAAUAAUUCAAUGUGACGGGUUCGGGCAAAUAGGCGUUGGGCCAUAUUAGACACGAAACCUGCGCACUGCACACUGAGAGCCAGAGAAUCCUUAACAGCCAACUCAUCAGACCGUUUGGCAAGUAGUCUGUUAUCUUUGGGAAUAACAAGGUUCCGGGCCACCACCGCAGUGGUCAUAUCAUUCUUCAUUACCGAAUCCCCAAUGGUAAGAGGACCAGUAGGGGAUAUGAAGGAUGGGCGCCAUAUGUUGUCUGAAGAAGGCAUGGAUGCCUCUUUACCAAGGUUCAAGUCAAAACAACGGUCGGAAGGGCCAGAGAUUUUCAAAGGUGUUGAAGAAAGAAGAGGUCGAACAAGUCAAGAUCGUAGAAAUGCAAGAAGGGAGUUUCUACAAGUAGAAGUUCAAUUGUGCUUUGAAACGUACUGCAUACCUCUAUACAAAUCAGCACUCGACGGGCAGUUUGUUGAAGCGCCGAUUCCAGAUAUCAAAAAGGCAUCAGCUUUAUCCAGACGUGUCAGCAUCUGUCACAUACACACUCAGCCUUGCGGAAAUUACGGGCAAUCUGUGGAAGAUUUUUGGUGAAGUAGAAAUCACGUGAAGUUUAUUGUUCAAUCAUCCAACGGUUGCAGACAAGAGUGAAAGAAUAGUACCGGUUAUUAUUUCCUAUAAAUGUCGACCUUCACCCUCCAUAGCAAGGCAGACAUACAUAACCUUCCGUCAUCUCCGAGAAUACCUUCCCAACGAAGCCUCUCAAGUCACUCAGUGUUUCUUAUUCCUUGGGGUACCUUUGCUAACAACUCAUCCAAAGAAAAAGUAUUUCAUAUCAUGAAGGUUGAAAGCAAGAGUAUCUCAUAUCAUGCUUUCUCCCUGUCCUUCUCCUUGUCGUUGUUUUCAUCUGCGGGACAAGGAGAAUUAGAGCAAUCAGCCAACACUUGGUAUCAAUCUUCCGAUCUGGAACCGACUGCCUAGAACCCCUUCCUGAUUGCUUACCUAGCCUUGCUCUCCAGUACUCAUCUUCAUCAUUUUAUGCUUCUUAUUCGUCUACCACAUCUGCCUAGGGAACAAAUAAGGGAAAUGAAAAUGAUACCUCGAAGCAUGUGGAGACAAUUUGCCAAUUCAUCCUCAGCUAGGGACAAGGAGAAAGAAAGCAAGAGGUGGGCACUUGGAAAGAUUGAAGAAAGAAACAGACCAACACCUCUAUCUCGUGCCUGCCUGCCGUGCAGAAGAAACAAGCAGAGAAGAAUGCUGACUGCACAAUCAAAUCAACCCAGCAGAAGGAGUCUGAUUUGAAACCAAGGAACUCUCGCUCAGAAUUUCGAACCAGUUCGAGAUCAAAGCUGUGGAAAGACAACAAGAUCAUCUAUCUCCAAAACCAGAUUUGCGUUCUUAAACUCUACUCUGUCUGGUUUUUACUUUGCCAUACUUGUCAUGUUUAUUCGUUGUUUGUUUGAUUGUUUGCUUGUGUUUGUGUGAGUUUAUGCUUGAAACAUUGAGGACAAUGUUCGAUUUAAGUGUGGGGGGGGGGGUAACCAAGUUGUUUUGCAUGAAAUUUGUGGGAGUUUAUCACCCAUUACUUCUAGUGUUGUUCCUUGCUAUUUUAAGUGUUUUUAUGCUGUUUUGGAGUGUUUUAGUGUGUUUUGACAUAAAAAUCCGAAAAUCACAUAAAAAUUUGAAAAAUUGUUCUAAAAAAACCCAAAAAGAGUUUUAUUGUGUGUUUGUUUGUGUCUUAGGUACCUUCCAACACAAUGAUGAGGAUUUGGUUUUUAAUUACAUGACUGUUAAAGAUAAUUAUAAACAUGGAUGAAAAUUUGGUUUACUUUUUGGUGUAUGCUUGGUUGUGGUUAUAAUUUAAGAAUUCACAUGCAAUCAUAAAGGAAAAAUCAGUUUUUGUAACAUGCUUGAAAGAAGGAAUCAAAUGAACGCUGCAACUGGUAGGUUUAAAAGCACACCACAAAGUAGCACACAAAUAUCCUAUUAAUUUUCCUUAUCAACACUAGGAUUUGUCAAUUGUAGCAUAUGUAAAUAAGGGUCUUUCCCGUAGAAGAUUGUUUUAUCCAAAUACUUAAAAUGUCACAAAAACGGGGUGGCUGUCUCCACUGACAAGCCACCGAACAAUAAUUAUUAGACUAACUUACACUUAUCCAAAUGCAACGAAAUUUUAUACACAUAAACUACACACACCAAGCUAUGCUCACACAAAGUUUUGGGAUAUUUGGAGUUGAUUAGCUAUUUCAAUUAAAUCGGACAAAACAGGACCUCAACAAGUUUUAAAUAAUACCAAUAGAUUUUAAUUCACAAGUUAAGAAAACGAGUUAGGGGACAUGCUAUCCACCACCAAAUAAUCAUGCAAGCAUGUUAUGUUUCAUUCAAAUCCCUUUUAUUUCCGGAUGAAGAUGCUCAAGUUGGCUCACUGUUAGAACUCAACCUAUUACUCUUUCUUACGUAGUAUGUUAAGAGAAUGGCGUUUUCAACUUAACUUAGUCCCUAGAAUGCAAUCUAGAAUGGCGUGUUCAUAGAUUUAACAAGUAGAAAUCAUUAAGAAUAAAAAGAGUUUGAGUCAUCACAAGGCAUCGUAAGCACUGGCGUUGUCUUACUUAUCCUAGAAAUCGGUUCACAUGUUAACCACAAUUAACAAGUGCUACUCUAGAACAUAUGUAGGUCCUCAUUCAACAAGGGCAGGUAAACAUAUAUUCAUAGCAUUAAAAUCCUAGAUAUGCUCACUAUGUAUGCAUCCAUAGAAACACAUAAAGAAUUUAUCAAUGACAUAAGUAGUGAAACAAUUUUCAUCCUUUCAUAAAAGUCAUUCAAACAAAAUAUCACAACAAACUUACAAUCAUAUUCGGGGCUUCAAAACAGCCCCUAACUACUAAAAAUUAGUUACAAAUUAUUCUCAAAUUAAACCAAAAGUAAAACGCUCCCCUCUAUUUCUUCAGUCUGUCAUCUCUGUCCGUACCUACCCCCCUGCUUCUCUCUUUAAUUGCUGUUUUUAUUCUUUCUGCCAAUUUUUGUCAGUCCCGCCACCAAUCCACUUUUCCCUUUGUUUAUUCAUGCCGUGCUGCACUCUUUCUUAUUCUUCUAUUUUUCUUUGCUUUUAUCCCGCACUCCUCACUCCCUCUCCUGCUUUUUGUUCCACUUCCAUCCCAUGCGCACUCCACUUCCUUCCCACUCUUCUCUGUCUGCCGUUCUACCUAUUUCCUCAUUCUUUUAUUCUGUCAGUGUCUCCCUUUCCGUCCCAUUUAUUUUCUGUUGUUUUAUUUUUUAUUUAUUUUUUUAUUUCCUUUUCUCAAUUUUGCUUGAAAUUGAUCCUAAAACAAAAUUAACUGCACAUUAACACAAGGUAAGGUAAAAUACCACAAUUUUAACACAAAAACAUCACAAAGACUUUAGAAAUGGAUGGUAUAAAUGCAUGAAAUAUAUGAGUGAUCAAAUACCCCCAAACUUGCAUUUUUGCUAGUCCUCUAGCAAAACAAAACACAAAACAAAACCACUCAACUAAGACUAGAUUCAACAACUUAGUAGCCAACUUCUCAACUUCGAUUUCAGAGAUAACAUCAUCCAAUAAUUAACCAAAUUUCCUUCAAACAAAACGUUGAAAAGCCAUGUGUGAGCUAGCCAUGUCAAUGCAAUUCCAAGCUCCUUUAAAUCAUCAUAUGCAAACAUGUGAGUUUCUCACAAGACAUACGCUCAUUCACUCAUAAGUUUUGGUUAAUGUGUUUCACUCAAGUGAUCUCAUUGUACAUGCUGCCAUAUGCUUGCUUGUCCACCUAACUCGCAUAUCAAUAUUUAAGUAAUACCUUGGAUCAAUAGGACUUUAUUACGGUUGUAAUGGGGCUAAAGGUGAUAGGCUAAUGAAAGAAAGGAUAUGGAAAUCAAAAAUUUUGAGAAAGUACACUUUGGUAGUUUUCCAACAUCUCAAUAUCACACCACCUCAAAUUGAAAGCAAAAUAAUAAAACCUCGAGCACCAGUUACUCCCCAAAUUCAACUUCAAAAGGAAAUUUAUACUCUGUCGACACAUUUUCAACAAAUCAACACUCUCCAAUUUUCAUAUAUUUCGUUUUUUUUUUUUUUUUUUUUUUUUUUUUUUAAUGAAAGAAACAAAUCUGCAAAAGCUACAUCACCCAUCAAAUUCACAUUUCAUUGUAAUACACAUGCUUCAUCCAUCUUUCUACAUAAAUGAAACCCCCAAAAGCACAACCCAUGUAAUACUUUCUCAAAACAAUAAGGAAUCGAUUUUUGUGUAUGGGCUCAACUCCAAUAUUGGAGCAAGGUAAAGAGAUGUGGCUAACAAAGAAAUGGCUUAGUUAAAGGCUCAAUGGGCUACUACAGAUAAACAUAGCAUAUAAGGUAGGCAUGAAAGGCUCAAACGAUCCAAAGAUGGCCUAUAUCACUUCCAAGUUAUUACAUGAAUUGAUUAAUGAAUCGAGUAGUAUAAAGCAAGUUCUAGAGAUACAUGUACAGUGAGAUCAUACGCACAAGAAGGAAUGAGAUUGAUGCAUAAUGGUUCAAUCAUGUAUAGGCUCAAAAACUCACAAGGUUUACAUAAUCUCACCUGAUUCACAUAUGAAACGCUAAAUCAUGCUCAAGUUUCACAUUGACAAGACUAGGCACAUUUAUUUUUCAAGUUGACUUCUGGAAAUCACAAUUAAUACAAAGACAACGAAAAGAACUUAGACUUUCUUGAAAGUAAGAAGGAAAUUAAGAUCAAAUCUCAUCAUUGAAUUGAGAAGUAGCUACAAACAACAAUAAAAAUGCAAAAACUUUUUUAUUUUUUUUAUUUUUUUAUUUUUUUUAUAGAGAAAUAAACUAACGAAAUAUAUUUCCACCCCCAAACUUAAUUAUAGCAUUGUCCCCAAUGAUAAUGAAAGGAAUUUUUUAACAAUAAGACAUAAAAAUGGAAGGAAAGAAAUAUAAAAUGAAAUAAAGACACAUAAAGAAAAGGAAAGAACACACCAAUUUGUGUAGGCGAGGAGAGCAAAUGUGUGAGUAACCCGUGGGAUUAAAAUCAGACUCCUUCUCCUGGGUUGAUUUGAUUGCUCAGUCUGCAUUCUUCUCUGCUUGUUUCUUCUGCACGGCAGGCAGGCACGAGGUAGAGGUGUUGGUCUGUUUCUUUCUUCAAUCUUUCCAAGUGCCCACCUUUUGCUUUCUUUCUCCUUGUCCCUAGCUGAGGAUGAAUUGGCAAAUUGUCUCCACAUGCUUCGAGGUAUCAUUUUCACUUCCCUUAUCUGUUCCCCAGGCAGAUGUGGUAGACGAAGAGGAAGCACAAGAUGAUGAAGAUGAGUACUCGAAAGCAAGGCUAGGUAAGCAAUCAGGAAGGGGUUCCAGGCAGUUGGCUCCAGAUCGGAAGAUUAAUACCAAGUGUUGGCUGAUUGCUCUCUUUCUCCUUGUCGUAAAACAAAGACAAGGAGAAGGACAGGGAGAAAGCAUGAUAUGAGAUACUCUUGCUUUCAACCUUCAUGAUAUGAAAUACUUUUGCUUUGGAUGGGUUGUUUGCAGAGGUACCCCAAGGAAUAAGGAACACUGAGUGACUCGAGAGGGUGUGGUGGAAAGGCAUUCUCGGAGAUGAUGGAAGGUUAUGUAUGUCUUCCUUGCCAUGGAGGGUGAAGGUCGACAUUUAUAGGAAAUAAUAACCGGUACUGUUCUUUUACUCUUGUCGGUAACCAUUAGAUGAUGGAACAGUAAACUUCACGUGUUUUCUACUUUACCAGAGAUCUUCGACAGAUUGCCCGUAAUUUCCGCAAAGCAGACUCUGCAUGUGACAGAUGUUGACACGUCUGGAAAAGCAGAUGCCUCUCCGAAAUCUGGAAUUGCCUCUUCGAAAUCUGAGCUCCGUCGAGUGCAGAGGUUGUAUGUGACGAGUGCAGACAAAUCUGGAAAAGAAGAUUUGCCGUGGUUUCUAAGCAAGCUCAGCUUUUGAGAAAGCUAGCGCCUCUUUGAUUUUUUUAGUUGGCCUCUUCGAUUUCUAAGCUCGCCUCUUCGAUCUCUGAAAUCCCAUCGCGUGCUGCUUUUUAUAGAGGUAUGCAGGACGUUCAAAGCACACUUGAAUUUCUGCCUGUAAAAACUCCCUCUUUGCAUUUCUACGAUCUUGACUUGUCCGACCUCUUCUUUCUAUAACACCUCUGAAAAAUGUAUGGCCCUUCCGACCGUCGUUUUGACUUGAACCUUGGUAAAGAGGCAGCUCUGCCUUCUCCAGACAACAUAUGGCGCCCAUCCUUCAUAUCCCCUACUGGUCCCCUUACCGUUGGGGAUUCGGUGAUGAAGAAUGAUAUGACAGCUGCGGUGGUGGCCAGGAACCUUGUCACUCCCAAAGAUAACAGACUACUCGCCAAACGGUCUGAUGAGUUAGCUGUUAAGGAAUCUCUGGCUCUCAGUGUGCAGUGUGCAGGUUCCGUAUCCAAUAUGGCCCAACGCCUAUUUGCCCGAACCCGUCAAGUUGAAUCAUUGGCGGUUGAAGUGAUGAGUCUCAAGCAGGAUAUUAGAGGGCUUAAGCAUGAAAAUAAACAAUUGCACAGGCUCGCACAUAAUUAUGCUACAAACAUGAAGAGGAAGAUUGACCAGAUGCAGGAAUCUAAUGGUCAGAUUUUACUUGAUCAUCAGCGGUUUGUGGGUUUGUUCCAACAGCAUUUGCCUUCUUCUUCUGGGGCUGUAUCGCGUAGUGAAGCUCCAAAUGAUCAACCUCUGAUGCCUCCUCCUUCUGGGGCUCCGCCGACUGCUGAAGCUCCGCCGACUACUGAGACUUCUCCUAAGCAGCCUUUGUGAAGGCUCCCUCUUGUAUUUAUAUGCUUAAUGUUCCUUUCGUUUUUAUGAAUGUAAAAAUACCUUGCAAGAAGUUGUCGUAGAGAUUGCAAAAUCAUUACCUGCAUAAAGGAACACAAGUAGGACUUAAACACAAAAACCAGAAAACAAGAGAAAAACAGAACAAGAAAAUUUAAAAUUAUUCAAAAAUAAAGAUGAAAGAUAGAAACCUUGGGUUGCCUCCCAAGAAGCGCUUUCCUUAACGUCUUGCAGCCGGACGAUGCCUCCAGUCACACUCCCCUAGGUUCCAUGGCAUGGAAGUGAACUUCGAAUGGAAGGUGAUACUUGAAGUGAUCCGGCAGUUGGACUAAAAACUUCCCCAAUGUGCAGUAAAAUCAAAUGAUGACCCCCAAACUUUAAUUCUGCAAUCAAAUCCAAGGGUGGACAUAACCCAAAUACAAAGAAAAGAAAUAAUUCAGUUUAGCAUGCAAGAAAAUUGAAAAUGAUAGAAAAAGGCAAUGAAUAGAAAUAUUGGGUUGCCUCCCAAUAAGCGCUUGCUUUUACGUCCGCAGCCAGACGGUACCAAGAGUAAUCAUCCAAAGGGAACUGGUUCUUGGAGAGGUACAACCUCCACAUCAUGCUCCGCAAAAGACUCGUAAUAUGGCUUGAGUCUAUGCCCAUUCACUUUGAACAUGUAUCCGGUCUUUGCACUUUGGAUUUCCACUGCACCAUGAGGAAAAAUAUUUGUUAUAACAAAUGGACCAACCCAUCGAGAACGAAGCUUACCUGGAAAUAACCGAAGGCGAGAAUUAAAUAGAAGAACUUUCUGUCCAAUGACAAAGCUCUUCCUUAAGAUCAUCUUGUCAUGAAAUGCCUUUGAUUUCUCCUUGUAUAUUCGACUAGACUCGUAUGCAUCAUUCCGGAUUUCGUCUAACUCAUUUAAUUGAAGCUUCCUUUGCUUUCCGGCAACACUCAUGUCCAUGUUGUAGGCUUUGAUCGCCCAAUAAGCUUUGUGCUCUAACUUUACUGGAAGACGGCAUGGUUUCCCAUAAAUUAACCGAAAUGGGGACAUUCCAAUAGGAGUCUUAUAGGCAGUCCUAUAAGCCCACAAUGCAUCGUUCAAGCGCAUGCUCCAAUCCUUCCUACUAGGACUCACAGUUUUCUCCAAAAUUUGUUUCACCUCACGAUUUGAUACUUCUGCUUGACCGCUAGUUUGUGGAUGAUAAGGUGUAAACACCUUAUGUGUGACAUUGUACUUCCUAAGCAACGCUUCAAAUGUUCGAUUGCAAAAAUGACUCCCUCCAUCGCUAAUGAUUGCUCUAGGUAUUCCAAAUCUUGCAAAGAUGUUACUCUUAAUAAAAUCUGAAACCACUUUUGAAUCAUUAGUCUUGGUGGCUUUUGCUUCCACCCAUUUAGAAACAUAAUCCACAGCCAAUAAAAUGUAAAGAAAACCAUUUGAAGAUGGAAAAGGUCCCAUGAAAUCAAUGCCCCACACAUCAAAGAUCUCAACAACCAAAAUAGGGGUUUGUGGCAUUUGAUUUCUUGGGCCCAAGUUACCUGUUCGUUGACAACGAUCACAUGUUGCACAAAACUCGUACACAUCUUUAAACAAACUAGGCCAAUAAAAACCACUCUCUAACACGUUCAGGGCUGUCCUCUUUGCUCCAAAAUGGCCACCACAUGCAUAAGAAUGACAAAAAGUUAGAAUAGAUUUAAACUCAGAUUCGGGGACACACCUUCUAAUCAAUUGAUCAGUGCAAUAUUUCCACAAAUAAGGAUCAUCCCACUCGUAGUAUUUGGCGGUUUUGACAAGCUUAUCUUUUUGAGCACGUGUAAAAUCAUCCGGAAUCUUUUUGAUGACCUUAUAAUUGAUAAUAUCUGCAUACCAAGGGUCAAUAAUCUUUAAUGAAAACAGUUGCUUAUCCGGAAAACUUUCACGUAAAGGGAUGAGAUCUUCCUCUAUGUUUGAAUGCACAAGUCGGCUAAGAUGAUCUGCUACAACAUUCUCACUCCCUUUCUUAUCCUUGAUCUCCAAGUCAAACUCUUGAAGCAGAAGUAUCCAUCAAAUGAGUCGUGGUUUUGCAUCUUUUUUUGUGAGUAGAUACUUCAAAGCUGCAUGGUCAGAAACCACAAUAACUUUAGUCCCAAUCAGAUAAGAUCUAAAUUUUUCUAAAGCAAAUACAACAGCUAAAAGCUCAUUCUCUGUUGUUGAAUAAUUCAACUGUGCAUCAUUGAGUGUUCGAGAUGCAUAAUAGAUGACAUGUGGCAAUUUGUUGACACGCUGCCCUAGAACUGCACCAACAGCAUAGUCUGAAGCAUCGCACAUUAACUCAAAAGGUAAACUCCAAUCUGGUGGCAUGAUUACAGGAGUCGUGGAUAACAACUGCUUAAGCUUAUUGAAUGCUACCACACACUCUUCAUUCAUAUCAAAUGUUACAUCCUUUUGAAGUAAACGACACAAGGGUCUAGAAUUCAUUGAGAAGUCCUUCAUAAACCUACGGUAGAAACCUGCAUGUCCAAGAAAAGAACGAACCUCCCUGACAGUAGUAGGGAUGGGUAAAGAACUAACAAGUUUUACUUUAGAUUUAUCAACUUCAAUUCCCUUUUCAGAUAUGAUAUGCCCUAGAACUAAUCCAUGCGAAACCAUGAAAUGGCAUUUUUCCCAAUUUAACACUAGAUUAGUUUCUUGACAACGUUUUAAAAUUAGGGACAGAUUAUGUAGACAUGUAUCAAAAGAAUCACCAUAAACUGAAAAAUCAUCCAUAAACACUUCAAUUAUUUUCUCAAUUAUAUCAGAAAAGAUACUUACCAUACACAUCUGAAAUGUGGCAGGGGCGUUGCACAAUCCAAACGGCAUCCUCCGGUAUGCAAAUGUGCCAAAUGGACAUGUGAAAGUCAUCUUUUCUUGAUCCUCCGGAGCAACUGCAAUUUGAUUAUAGCCAUAAUAGCCAUCAAGAAAACAAUAAUGAGAAUGACCAGCUAGCCUUUCUAAUAUUUGAUCAAUGAAUGGGACUGGAAAGUGAUCCUUGCGUGUGGUGUUAUUUAUCUUUCGAUAGUCUGUACAGACUCUCCAACUAUUUUGCACACGUGUAGGCAUUAGCUCAUUAGCUUCAUUCUUAACAACUGUGACUCCAGAUCGUUUAGGGACUACUUGAAUAGGGCUUACCCACUUGCUAUCCGAAAUAGGAUAUAUGAUGCCAACAUCAAGAAGUUUGAUAACCUAUUUUUUUACGACUUCCAUCAUGAGUGGGUUUAAACGGCGUUGAGAUUCCCUUGUUGGUUUUGCACCUUCCUCCAACAGAAUCCUAUGCAUGCAUGUAGCUGAAUUUAUACCUUUGAUAUCUACAAUGCUCCAAGCUAUGGCAGUCUUGUGAUCCUUCAGUACCCGGAUCAGUUUCUCCCCCUCUUCUGCUGUCAGUUGUGACGAUAUAAUGACUGGUAAUGUUUCAUCCUCUCCAAAAAAUGCAUACUUCAAAUGUUUAGGGAUCGGUUUAAGCUCCAAUUUAGGUGCUUGAAUCACAGAAGGAAGAGUUUUUUCGUUAGAAGUAGGAAGAGAAAUAAAAUAGGAAGAACACUUACCACGAAUUGGUGAAAGAGACUCAAGAGAGGCCACUGUUUGGAUUAAUUCUUCUUCAAUGUACUCUGAAUAAUUAAAAUUUCCAUGUGUAAUGCUAUGCACUAAUACCUUCUCUAAAUUAUCUUGUCCCACACCUUCAUUAAAAAUCCUGCACAAAAUAGUCAAACACAUCAAUAGACAAACAAGAUUCUAAUUCACUAGGAUACCUCAUAGCAUUGAAGAUUCUGAACUUGACGAUUUCCCCCUCAAUUUCCAUGGUUAAGGUACCAUCGUAGACAUCAAUCUUCAUCUGUGUUGUUCUAAGGAAUGGUCUUCCCAAUAUAAGAGGAAGUGCAGUAGGCAUAGGAUCAUGUUCCAUCUCAAGAACAAAAAAGUCAGCAGGAAAAAUGAGCUCAUUCACUUACACAAGUACAUCCUCUAAUAGGCCUUUGGGAUAUCUAUUUGAACGAUCUGCCAACUGGAUUACUACCUUUGUUUUCUUCAAGUCUCCAAGGUUCAAUGACUCAUACACUGAAUAUGGCAUCAGAUUCAUGGAUGCCCCCAAAUCACACAAUGCUCUCCCAAACUCUUUGCCUCCAAUUACACAUGGAAUGGUAAAGCUAUCGGCAUCUUUCAACUUCGGUGGCAGCUUUCUCUGCAAAACAGCUGAUACUUCCUCGCUUAAUGCCACAGUUUCUUGAUCAUUGAAUCUCCUCUUGUUCGUACAAAGCUCUUUAAGGAACUUUGCAUACUUGGGCACUUGUUUUAUGGCAUCUAAAAGAGGUAAGUUCACUUGGACUUUCCGAAAAGUAUCCAAGAUUUCCUUAUCAGUUUGCUCUUUCUUAGACUUCAUAAACCUACGAGAAAAAAGAAUAGGGACACAUGAGUUAAAUGAAUUUUGAACUUCUUUACUUACCUUAUCAGAAUCUUUUUUGUUCAAUUCUGUAUCUUUAGGAGACUUUUCAGUUUCUGUUGAAGCCUCAUCUUGCUCAAGAUUCUUGGUUUGUAGCUCCCCUUGUUCAAUUGUGUCUUUUCUAGUCCUAUUUUGCAUCCUCGGCUGCUCAAAAACUUCUUUUCCACUCCUUAAAGUCACAACAUUCAUCUGCUCCGCAUUUGUCACCACGGUUUGGCUAGGCAACCUUCCUGGUUGGUGUUGUUGCCCCAUCAAACUUGCUAACUGACUCAUUUGGCGCUCAAGGUUUUCAAUUGCUUUGUCUGUUUUCUGUUGAUGAGAUUGAGUAGAGUUAGCUAAAGAAGAAAUUAAAUCCUCAAGAGACUUACUUGGAGCUUGUUGUUGUUGAGGCUGAAAUGGUGCCUGCAGUCUUGCUUGAAAGAAGCCAGGCGGACGGUUAUAGUUGUUGGGAACAGAUUGUUGUCCGUUGUCUUGAUUGUUCCACUUUAAGUGUGGAUGAUCGCGCCAUCCUGCAUUAUAGUUAUUGGAAUAUGGAUCAUACUUUUGCCUUUGUUGCCCUUGAAAUCCUCCUAAUGCAUUAGCUUGCUCAAGACCACCUUGAUCCAUCGACGAAGGGCACAUGUCCGUGGCAUGUCCCAUCAUUGAACAUACACCACACACCUGUUUUGGAGCCACCAUAACCUGUUGCACAAGAUUAGUCAAGUUAGCUAAUUGUAAUUCAAUACUAGAAUUAGCACUUACCUCGUUAACUUUCUUAAAAGGUAGCUCAUCUCUCCCUCCAAAUUGUUGUAUGUUGCCAGCAAUGUUCUUUAAUAAUGCCUUAGCAUUUAUUGGUGUCUUGUCCAUGAAUGCUCCUCCACUUGCUGCAUCAAGCAUUACAUGAUCAGUACCAUACAAUCCCUCAUAAAAAUACUGUAUUAAAAGAUGCUCUGAAAUCUGAUGGUUAUGAUAAGAUGCAAAGGGCUUUCCAUGAUCAGUACCAAAUGUGUGAACCGCUCAUAGUAAUCUCCAAAGGGCUUUCCAUGUUGUUGUCGGAUUGCACAUAUGUCUUUCCUUAUGCUUGCAGCUUUUGUGGCCGGAAAAUAUUGCUCCAAGAAUGCUUGCUUCACCUGGUUCCAUGUGUUCAUUGAUCCCGAAGGUAAAUUGUAAAGCCACUCCUUUGCCUUAGCUUCUAAUGUAAAUGGGAAUGCCCUCAACUUGACUUGCUCCUCAUCCACAUUUGCUGGUCUCAUUCCUGAACAUACCACGUGAAACUCCAUGAGAUGCUUGUUGGCAUCCUCUGUUGAGAAGCCAUGGAACUUAGGCAAGUAGUGAAUCAUGCCGGACUUAAGCUCAAAUCCUCCUUCUGCAUUUGGAUAUGUGAUGCACAAUGGUUGUUGAUCCGUAUUUGGCAUUGCCAACUCCCUUAAUGUACGGUUAUCAGCCAUGCCUUCUUGUGGUUCCUCCUCCUCUUCCGAACUUAAAUGUGGUGGAGAAGAUGGUGGUAAAGACACCGAUGCACACUUUUGCUCGAUUUUUCUCUGAAGCUUUCGAAAUGUUCGUUCAAUCUCUGGAUCGUAGGAAGCUAGAUCAAUGCUCUUAGACUUUCGAGUAUGCAUGUACUACAAAGAGUACCUGAAAUAAAAACAAAAACACUAAUUGGACAAGAAAAUAAAACAAUAGAAAAAUAAGUAAUUUAGAAAUAACAAUCCCCGGCAACGGCGCCAAAAUUUGGUAGGUUUAAAAGCACACCACAAAGUAGCACACAAAUAUCCUAUUAAUUUUCCUUAUUAACACUAGGAUUUGUCAAUUGUAGCAUAUGAAAAUAAGGGUCUUUCCCGUAGAAGAUUGUUUUAUCCAAAUACUUAAAAUGUCACAAAAACGGGGUGGCUGUCUCCACUGACCAGCUACCUAACAAUAAUUAUUAGACUAACUUACACUUAUCCAAAUGCAACGAAAUUUUAUACACAUAAACUAGACACACCAAGCUAUGCUCACACAAAGUUUUGGGAUAUUUGGAGUUGAUUAGCUAUUUCAAUUAAAUCGGACAAAACAGGACCUCAACAAGUUUUAAAUAAUACCAAUAGAUUUUAAUUCACAAGUUAAGAAAACGAGUUAGGGGACAUGCUAUCCACCACCAAAUAAUCAUGCAAGCAUGUUAUGUUUCAUUCAAAUCCCUUUUAUUUCCGGAUGAAGAUGCUCAAGUUGGCUCACUGUUAGAACUCAACCUAUUACUCUUUCUUACGUAGUAUGUUAAGAGAAUGGCGUUUUCAACUUAACUUAGUCCCUAGAAUGCAAUCUAGAAUGGCGUGUUCAUAGAUUUAACAAGUAGAAAUCAUUAAGAAUAAAAAGAGUUUGAGUCAUCACAAGGCAUCGUAAGCACUGGCGUUGUCUUACUUAUCCUAGAAAUCGGUUCACAUGUUAACCACAAUUAACAAGUGCUACUCUAGAACAUAUGUAGGUCCUCAUUCAACAAGGGCAGGUAAACAUAUAUUCAUAGCAUUAAAAUCCUAGAUAUGCUCACUAUGUAUGCAUCCAUAGAAACACAUAAAGAAUUUAUCAAUGACAUAAGUAGUGAAACAAUUUUCAUCCUUUCAUAAAAGUCAUUCAAACAAAAUAUCACAACAAACUUACAAUCAUAUUCGGGGCUUCAAAACAGCCCCUAACUACUAAAAAUUAGUUACACAUUAUUCUCAAAUUAAACCAAAAGUAAAACAUGGGUUUGAGAAGAUAAAACCAAGAAAAAUAGAGUGAAAUCUCUUCUUCUCUCCUUCUGCGCCCUCUGCUUCUGUGCUUCUGCUCCCGUCAAUCUCUCCCUUUUCCGCUCCCCUCUAUUUCUUCAGUCUGUCCUCUCUGUCCGUACCUGCCCCCCUGCUUCUCUCUUUAAUUGUUGUUUUUAUUCUUUCUGCCAAUUUUUGUCAGUCCCGCCACCAAUCCACUUUUCCCUUUGUUUAUUCAUGCCGUGCUGCACUCUUUCUUAUUCUUCUAUUUUUCUUUGCUUUUAUCCCGUACUCCUCACUCCCUUUCCUGCUUUUUGUUCCACUUCCAUCCCAUGCGCACUCCACUUCCUUCCCACUCUUCUCUGUCUGCCGUUCUACCUCUUUCCUCAUUUUUUUUAUUCUGUCAGUGUCUCCCUUUCCGUCCCAUUUAUUUUCUAUUGUUUUAUUUUUUUAUUUAUUUUUUUAUUUCCUUUUCUCAAUUUUGCUUGAAAUUGAUCCUAAAACAAAAUUAACUGCAUAUUAACACAAGGUAAGGUAAAAUACCACAAUUUUAACACAAAGACUUUAGAAAUGGAUGGUAUAAAUGCAUGAAAUAUAUGAGUGAUCAGCAACCUUGUGAGACUUGAGCCUAAAUGUUUAUUUGGAGAGUUAAUAAUCUGUGCAUCAUUGUUUUCUAAAGUCAUUGCAUGAUCUCAUUAUUCUUUGCUUGGUUGCUACUUAGAAGGCGUUUCAUCAUCUAGUUCCAAAUGCUAGAACUUAUGCCUAUUUCAUUCAAAGCAUGCUAUUGAUUUGCAUAACACAUAUUCAAGAUGAAGUUGUAUAGUGACCACCAAAGCCAAAUUGUCGUGCCCUUAUUUCAUUAUGUGUUUAAGUUUAACCCCGUUGAGCCUUGUUAAGCCUAUGUUCUUUGUUAACCCACACUAUCCUUACCUAGCCUAGUGUUAGGACCAUCCACUUGUUCUUGAAGUAUAGUAAAGCAUGACUUAAAAUGAACUCCUUUUUUAUCAAUGUAUUGCAGAAAGCAAGUGUGGGGGGAAGUGAUUCUUGUGUGUGUGUGUGCCAAAGUCCUUAAUAAGGCACGGGUAGAGAAAAGAAAAAAAAAGUAUGAAAAAGAGCUCUAAAGUGUUGUUUGUUAGAAAAGGGUCCAAAACAUUGAAUUCGGCCCUAAGUGUUGCAUGAAUCUUCCCUUUGUAGUAAAAGUUGAUUCUGCAUUCUAAAGUGAAUUCCAAGUGUCUAUUUCAUUGCUUUGCUUGCUAUCGCUUUAAGAACGUUUGUUAUUCAUAUCCUUUCUUUGUUAGCCAUUACCCCCAAGCCCUAUUACAACCCUUGACUUCAAUCUUGAAUGUUGUGCGUUUCAAUUUGUGGAGUUUGAAAUUGGUAUGAGCAUAUGGUGUCACUGGUUCUCGCAUCUAAGUAGUAGCAUACCAUUCAUGAGAUCAUAUCUAAACAUGUUUAAUAACUCCAGAAAAUUGCUUCCUUUGUUAUAACAUAUGUGAGUCCCAGUCUCUAGUGUCGGGUGUGCAGUCAGAAAAAGUGUGUGAAAAUAGAAAGUAUCUUGUAAGGAAUUGAGCAAAUUCUCUAAGGCAUGUUACUACAUUCAAAACAUUGUUUUAAUUGGUUAAUUGUGAACUAGUAAGUAGUGACUGUGAUUAAGUUAGCUUGUUUCUUGGCGAUUACUUAGUUUAAUUCUAGUUAUUUUAGUACUUUAAGCUAUUUUCGUGUAUUUGUAGGUUCAAAUAACAAAGUUAGCAACAAAGUGCUAUUUGGAGCAUUUUGGAGCCUUUUUAGGCCAAAAUUGGAUAGUGCAAGCAUGGAGACAUGAGGAUGGACGUUUUUGAAGAUUUGAAGGCUAGAAAUCAGCAUGUUUGUGUGCAAGUGUGUUGACCUACAAUUACCAAACAUCCAUCCACUACACCCAUUACAUCCACUCAUUACCACAACACUCACCCACUACACCCAUUACAUCCACUCAUUACCAAACAUCCAUCCAUUACACCCAUUACAGACACUACAUUCACAUCUCACAACUCCAUACACUUACACUUUCAGUCCUUGGCUGAGAGAACACAAUCCACUCAUCCACCCUUCACCAUAACUCACCUAUAUCCAUCCACCACCAUAAUUUACCACUCAUCCAUCAAACCACACCUUGUGCCGCAACAAAGAAAAGAAAGAGAACCCUUGGACGUGCUUGGCAUUCAAGUUGGAUUGUUGGAGUGUUUUUAGGUGUUUUCAUUCUUUUGUUUUCAAUGUCUAAAUUUGUUUAUCUUUGCUUUGUGAGUAUGAGGAACUAAACCCCCCUUAGCUAGGGGGAAUUCAAAACCAUGUUCAUGCUUGCAAUAUGAUUUGAUUACCUUCAGUUGUGAUUUCAUAAGUUGUGAAUUCAAUUUGUUUAAUUGCUUGAUUGAUAACUUAUUCUUGUAUGUUUAUUAAGAGCGCACACUUAGUUUGCAUGCAUGAAUAUGAUGCUAGAGUAUAAGGGAGUUUCACCUAAUAGUUACAAAGUUAUAUUCAUAAGUAGUGGAAGUCGCUUAUAAACGAUCGCGUUAAAUAAAUUCUUGGCAGGAGUUUCAUGCUUAUCAUAGUAAUGAAUGCCUCGUCAAUACUUAUAGUUUUCAUAAUGCUUAAUGAUCUUUGAUUGUAUCUUUAUUGUGCUGUUCACGUAAAGAACUUUUGAAGAAUGCUUGAAUUGUUGUAUGUGUUUUCCCAUCCAAUUCAAUAACUUAAGGAGAACUUGAAGGUUAAUUUAAGCGGACUUAAUUAACCUGGGGUGUUGAGUUUCAUGAUUGAUCGAAAGAAAAACUGAAAAUUGGUUUAUGUGCAAGUAUGUCAUGUGUGGAGAAGAACCUCCUGGCUAGCCUUCCAUCCAUUCAAUUUACUCAAAUUUGUGCAGAUUUCAUUAGUUCUUUAAUUUACUUGUUUUGUUUUCAAAUUCGUCAAAACCAAAACCCCCUUUACUUUAAAGUGUUUUAUUAGUCAACAUCUGUUUUGAUUUGUGUUUUUAGGUGUCCCAAAAGUGUGUUAGAGUCCAAAUCUUCCCAGUUUGUGUUUUAGGCAGAUUUGAGCGUUUUUAGCUUGUUUUGAGUCCUUUGAGUUUAUUUUAAGUUCUUUGAGUCUAGUUUAGUGUUUUUAACUUUGUUUAUAUGUUUUUAAAUCAGUUUAGAGGUUUUAGCAAGCCCUCAUAAUCCCCAGUUUAGAACGAUCCUUACUUGCAUUUAUACUACAAUUUGACAACAAGAGGGUUUAAUUUGUGUGUUAAGUUAAAAUUCGCAUCACCUAGCUAACUGAAGGAUUUUGGGUCUCUUGGCCUAAUCCGUGGGGAACCGGGCUUUGAAGACAGAGGGGGCACAUAAUGUAGUACCCCUAUGGACGGCUACCCUAGAACCCUAAAACUACUACCGAGUGUACUAAGGUAGCCUACGAUUUUUGGAAGACUGCCUACAACUUACCCUUUAAGCAGUAAAGGCGCAUUAGACUUAUUCAACCACACAUUCUUAUGAAACAUUAAAUAGGCUAGCGUGCAUAUAUGAAGCUUUGUUCACUAUCGAUAUGCUACGUAGUCGAUAAGCUUAACCUCUGCCAAGUGUAGAAUGACCUACACCAAGUCGUAUAGUGUUGUGAUACUUGCUACACAACUUACAUAAUUAGAGAAAGCCAAGGCUAACAACCUAGUGGUUACGCGGACUUGUCAGCUUCUAUAAGUAAAACGAUUGGCUGCCAACCCUAUGGCUAACAACUUUGCAAAGUUCUACACCAACACCUACGACUACAUAGGCUACGCGGGCCUGUCUGCUUAUAGAAAAGUAGCAUGUCUACCACUGGUCUAUAAAGUCUAAGUGUUAGGGCAUGAACAAAAGAAGCAAAGAUGGAGAAAAAUGAAGGAAACAAGUUUAUUCAAUUUUCUAGUAAAAUUGAUAAACAACUAGCAAAGACCAAAGGAGUUCAACCAAAGCAAAAACAAGAAGGAAAACAAAGAAAAUCCUAAAGGCUACCUAGAAGACCACUCUUCAGCAGCUUGGACAUCUAAUAACUAUUAUGUUGCCACACCUUCAGCAGCCAUGACCCUCUCAGCAAUGGCACCAUCCGGCGUUUCACCCCCAGUUGCCUCAGCCUAGGCACCAACCUCUCCAACUACUUCACCAAUAAAAGCCUCAAAAGUAAAGGCAAGCAAGUCUUCAAGAGAAAUAGAAAAUGUCUCGAACCAGAAAACUUAAAGUUAGACGGCCGCCUAAAGAGAUGGUAUACAUAACCUAGCUUGUAGAAAUCAUCUUGACUCUGAGUAAGCAAAGCCUCAAACCUAGCCUUCUCACUUUUCAACUGCUCAUUCUCCUUGAGCAGACAAGCAUGGACCCGCUGUAGCUCUUCCACUUCUUUAUUCAAAAUGUCGUUGAUCUUCAAAGCACUUUGGAGUUCCAACACUUGAGGCUCAAGCCUAUCAACGACCUUCUUGAAGUGGAUCACUUGGUUGUAAGCAGCAAUCAGUUCUUCAUCCUUUGUUUAAGCAGUGGAGUAGAGCUCAAAGACGGCACGCUCAAGGUCUUGAAUCUGAGGUAUGUAACACCUGAUCUCCUUUUCUGCACUUUCAUACUUUACUUGGAUCGCGUCAAGCCUAGUUUUCAAAUCCACGAUCUCUUGGCGAGCGGUCUCAAGCUGUAAAGAAUUGGGGUUAGAAAUAUUAUACCUCUUCAAAGUAGCAAGCUCGGAUUCCAACUUCUUGACUUUCUAGGCCUAGGAGUAAGCUUCAGCUACCACGGUUCUUGCCACCUUUUUGGCAGCCUUGGUAUCCUCUUGAUCUAGGAACAUAGACUCGACUACUAGAAUCGCUGUUUUCCGCAUCAUAGCAAGCAGAGCAGUCCUCUUAUACUAAGUCGUAUGUUUCACAAAGGAACUAGGGCCAACAACCCCCUUGACGCCAUCAAUAAAUUUGGCACACACAUUCAUGUCCUCGAGCAGAUCUGGUCUCAAUAGCAUAUAAAUUUCAGCAGCUUCCCCAGAAACAGACUUGGUGGAUUUCUCACAACUACCCACACGAGCAGUCUCUUUCUUCUCAGUAGACGAAUCGGUUUUAGCAACAGAGGGAACAGGUUUUGGCGCCAUUUAGCAGGCAAAGGCACCUUGUUACUCUUCAUAGUAGCAAACCUCUUCAAAGGUGAACCAAACUUAGCCCCAGACGGACAUUUUGGCAUAAAUUUUGGCACUGAAGGCACAUAGGAACUUCUACGCUGAGCAAUCCUAUCAACAACCGAAUUAGCCACCUUUGGAACAGUAGAAGUCAUUGGCACGGAUCUAGUAGCUUCAUUCUUCUUACCCUUGGGAGAAGUUAAGUCAAUCACAAGCUUGGGAGUAGGUUCGCGCAGCGGAAGAAGUCUUUGAUUUUUCUCAGCCGGUGUCUCUUGAGCAGGCAGGGAACCCACCUUAAAGGCAAGCCACCUUUCUCCUGGCGAAAAUGACUAAGUAGCCAACGCCACUCACUAUACUCGGAAGGGAUACCUAGAACGACAUGCACUUUUUUCAUGUUUGAGAAGUCAUAAAGUUGAGCCAAAUUCUGAAUUUGCAAAAGUAACGGGAGACAAUCACAAAAUUGAAGAGCAACUUAGCAUAAAUACAAAGCAGUUGAGAGAUUAAGUAGCCUACUUACUCGAUAUGAAGAUCGUUGGAACACGCAACUCAGGGGAAGAAUCAGACUCUCAUUCUCCACUUAUCUCCAAAGUCUCCUUGGCCAAAUCAUGAUCUUCCUUGCUUGAAUGAUUGAAGAGCCUAUGGCGAGAUCGCAACUGUCCAACUUCCUCGAUGUGGCCUAUGUUAAAGAAGUACCAAAAUUCAUUGACGGUUAGAUCUAAGUCAAAGAAUCGGUUUAGAUUAAGGAAUCCCACCAUCACACAGACCGCAUUAAGAGAACGUUGACCGGGGGCACAUUUCAUGGAGCAGAGCACUUCUUGGAAGAAACGCAGCAUAGGAAAAGUAAACCCUAACACAAAUAGUAGGGGUUGAACUUGAUGGCUCUCCGAGCCCCACCACAUGGCUCAUGGCUACUACUAUCCUUGACACGCUUCACAUACACUCCUGACGGAAUAACAUGCCUAUACGCCUCAAGGAAGUUUUUAAACAAGUCAUCAAAGCUAAUUUUGAAGUGAGGUGCCUUGAAGUAGCCAACCUUGCUUAAAGACCCGCCUUGACGAUACAAUGGCAUCACACCAUCAUUAUUCUUAUGGUUCGAGGAAGACAUGCUUGAGGAAAUUCUACAAAGAUGCGAAGAAAAUUCGUUAGACGGCUGCUUGAAAAAAAAAUAAAAAAGAAAAGGGUGGGGCCUACCUCACGGCCCAAGAAAGCCUUUCGGCCUCUUUCUCUUCUCCCAAGCCCAGCGGAAAAAAAAAAAAAAAAAAGGGAAAACAGCUUAUGGCCUAAGACAGCUCAAGCGGACCAAACCCAGCAGCCCGCGGCCCACUCUAUUUCCUCUCAUACAUAGGCCCGAGCCUAAUAUUAAAAAAGAAAAAAAAAGGGAAAGCAGCUUAAGGCCCAAGACAGCUUAGGCGAGCCAAACCUAGCGGCCCGUAGCCCACUUCAUAUCCUCUCAUACACGGGCCUGAGCCCAGUAUUAAAAAAAGGCAUAAGGCCUCCCGGCCUAGGCACAGAGGCCCAGACAACAGUACAUAAACCCCUGUCAGGCCCAAGUUGAGCCACUACUGUGCCAAACCCACGGAGCCACCCCACGGCAACAACUAUGGCGUGUCCUUUCAGCCACCUUUUCAUACAUUCUUAACCCCUGUCAAGACAAAUUUCAAGCCUCAAGGCUCCUAAAAAAUUAAGAAGACAAAUAAAAUUAAAUUUUUCUUACCUUGAAGUGGCAUGAAGACGAAGCAAGCAACGAAAGACGAUCCUUUGCACGGGCAAGAUGUAGAAGAUUGCUAGAUGAGGGGAAACAAAUAUUCUCUAAGCUUUCUCUCUCUUGUAGGGAAAAAUAAAUCGCUCUCCAAAGUUGAUUUAAUAAUCUACUUAAGGUAGACUUAAAUAGGUUUUGAGAGAAAUUUAUUUCCCUUUCCUAGAAGGAUCUAAUUUUCAAUUCAAGAGAGAAUCAACAUCAAAAUAGGAAACAAUCCAAUGUUUUCUAAAGCAAGAAGAUCUCUGCACCUGUUGCCUUUUCCUGCGAGCAGCCCAACAAGUGUGGGUGCAUUUGCGGAGCAAAAAAUAAUCGAGAAAAAUAUGGAGGCGACACGUGGAUUCUAGGGUAAAAAAAGAAAAAGACACAAUUACCCUCGAGGCACACCGAAGCUUCUACGAGUAAGCAACGAACAAUCAUCACUCAAUCAAGGUCAAAAGUGAUGAAAAUAGGUAUUUACUCAAAACAUAUUUCAUUCAUCCUCAACAAAUCCUUCUCACAAGGUAACUCCUAAAUUAUUUCUUUCAAAUUAUAUUAAUUAGCUAAUUAAUUGAUUUAUUACUCAAUUAAUUUAUUAAUUAGCUAAUUGAUUGUAAUUAACACCAAAAAUACCUCAUAUGGCCGGUCCUCAUUCUCCUAAUAGGGUCGGCCAUACCCCUAUAAAUACCACUUCAUUUUCUCCAAAAACCUAAGUUGAAUCCUCUUGCAAAAUUUUCUAAAUUCUCCAAACACUUUUCCCUCAAAAUUCUAACUUUGGCAUCGGAGGUUCUUCGGCCAAAGCCCCCCCCCCCCCAAUUCAUCAUGGGCGCGUGAGGCUCUUGGCCUUGACCUAAGGUGUUAAUUGUUUUUGUAGGUGCAUUUUUGUCCAAAAACAAGGAAGAAAUUUGCAUCCACAUAUACGAUAAUAGAAUAUACAAGAUCUUUAAAAAUAAAAAAUAGAAGUAAAACAUAAGAGUCUAAUGUAAUCAUGGACUGCAAAUGAGAGAAGAUUAUGAUUCCCAAAACAUGUAUAAUUAUGUCCGUGCGGUAUGCAUGUCGUUCUCUUAUCUCUUUAUUUAAAAAUUAAAAUUAAGAGUGUAAUUGUGUUAAUAACUUGUUGGGAAUAAAUUAUUGAGAGAGAAAUGAGAGAAAUUGGGAAGAGAAAUCAAGGUGUGUCUUAUCUUUAGACCCCAUUAUAUAGGAAAGAGUAACUUAGAGGAGAAGCCCAAUUGUCUCUAAUCUAUAUCAAUGAUCAAAAGGAUUAAGUAACAAUUUGAAUUACGGUCUAGUUGUAUUCAUCUUCACUUGUAAGCGUGAGGUCUUAAGUUCGAUUCUCGCUAAAGGCGAAUUUGAACAAUGUUAUUGCUAGCCCAUUAUGAGGCUUUAGCUCCCCCUACCACAACCCCCCACCCCCUUAACGAUAUUUGCAAAUUUGAGCAACAUUAUUGCUAGCCUAUUGUCGGACUUUAGUUUCCCCUCCCCCAAUGUAAAUAGUAUCGUUUGUUCAAGAAAGAACGAUAAGGACUAAGUAACAACUGAUUAUGAAUAUGGAUAGCCACAUAGCAGAGCCCACAUUGAGGGGGAGCUACCGGUUCCAUGGCACAGGGUCCCAGAAUUUCGGGGGCUUCCAAAAUAGUUUUCUAUCUAAUCGGGUAUCCUAUGAAAUAAUAUUAUAUUAUUUAUAUAAAUAAAAAUACUAAUCAGAACCAAAGAAAAGAUAUAAAAAUCCUAAUGGGCCCACAAGCUAUAUGAAUGCCUACAUAAACCACCAAAUCGUAAGAAAUUUUAUAAAAAUUAUAAAAAUAAUGAUAUUCCUCACAAUGUUUCUCAAUUCUCACUCCAAGAGUCAUGGUCCACUUCUCUCUCUCACGCCAGACACCCCCUCUCCUGCUUCUUAGGUAUCUCCCCUUCUCACUACUUUUUUUUACACAAACCAUUAAACCCUAAAUUCAUAAUUUCAUGUCAUUGAAGAAAAUUUUCCAAAUCACAAAGACAAUUGAAGUGGUGUGGUGUAGACUUCGAUUAAAGUAAGGUAUUUACUAGUUCAAGUAUAUUAAGUUGGAAUUAGAAGAUUUAGGUAUUUUUAUUUUAUAAUGAUUAUUUUCCUUUUGUGCUUUUUAGGGCAAAGCAGUAAACAGAAACCAUUAGGCACACAUGCAUUGCGAACUAUCAGGUUUUAUUGUUUAGACCUAGUAUAAUUUAAUUGUGAUAUUGUUUGAGAUAUAAAAGAUGACUCCUACUAAAAAAAUAUUCAUGUGGCUACUUGAAAUGCCAAAGAAAAAAAGUUGAACAACUGACUCGUCUAAAAAACGAGUUAUUGAUAGGUUUUUUGUUAAAGAAAAAGAACCACGAAGUUCAAUUUUUUUUUUUUUUAAGAUUGUCUUAAGAAGGGCCCCUUUUAUAAAUUCACACAAAGCCCCCGAAAUCUCAAUGACAGCCCUACCACAUAGAUAUAAAUAUUUACUAUAAUAUUUAUUAUAUUAAUUAAAAGUUAGUCAUUGUUAACAUAACACAUGACAAUAUCUAAAGAUGGUAGUAAUGUUCACCACCUAAAGAUUAAAAUUUAAAACUUGGGGAUGCUUAAGAGCGGGGUUUUGUUUCUUCCAUGGCCCGAAGCAACAAGUAAAUUCUCAGGCUUAUUAUGAAAUGAAAAUCUAAAGGUGCUUAAGGAUGCACCAUUGUUGUUUCCUCCAUGACUUGGCGAUGAAUCUUUAGGUGGACUCUUAGGCAAAUUGCCAAAUGAAAAUUUGGAGGUGCUUAACAACAAACCAUUGUUGUUUCCUCCAUGGCUUGGUGCUGAAUCUUUAGGUGGACCGUUAUUGAAGGGCUUAACGAUGGACCAUUAUUGUUGUUUCCUCCAUGGCUUGGCGAUGAUUAUUUAGGUGGAUUCUUAGGCAGAAUUCCAUAGGAAAUUUUGGAGGUGCUGAACGACCGACCAUUGUUAUUUCCUCCAUGGCUUUGUGAUGAAUCUUUAGGUGGAUUCUUGGGCAGAAUUCCAUACGAAAUUUUGGAGGUUCUUAACGACGGACCAUUGUUGUUUCCUCCAUGACUUGGAGAUGAAUCCUUAGGUGGAUUCUUAGGCAGAAUUCCAUAUGAAAAUUUGGAGGUGCUUAAUGAUGGACCGUUGUUGUUUCCUCCAUGGCUUGGCGAUGAAUCUUUAGGUGGAUUCUUAGGCUUAAUUCCAUAUGAAAAUUCGGAGGUACUUAAUUAAUGGUCAGGCUUCGAUUUCAAGAAGGAUAAAACUCAAAGGGAGAAAAAGAAAUUGAGUACCAUAGCUUUGAGAACUUGGGACUACUCUUGCCAUUUUGGUAGUGAGUGACAAAUUAAGUAAUUAUUGUUCCAUUUCUAAUGUCUUUUUGUAGUGGCAUCUCCUUAUCCUUAUAGGCUUAUGUUAUUAAAAAAUGAAAUCCAAUUAUCAGCUUUUAUAGUAUUAAAUCAGCUAUAAUCAGUAGAAAAUCUCACACCUCUAGCAUCACCUACCAAGAAGGUAUAAGAAAUGAAAUAUUCAUGUGCAAAUUAGGUAAGAAAAAUCUUUUCUCUAGCUUCUUUGGAAGGUUAAUAUAUUUUCAUAACAAAAGAUGUACAAAACUGAAUGGUAAAGUGAGAUACUAAUUAAUUUUUUCUAUAAUUAGUGAGCACCCAGUUAUCUACUGCCUUCACUACUCAACGUUAGCUGAGGUCUUUUAACCUAAAACUCUCCGAUUGGGAACUUAGCCCUUAAGAGAGAAAUUUUUCCAAAUGUUCAGUAUUCAGAUCCAGUAAUUCCAUGUGUAAGAACAUAAAUGAAGAGACACGAAAAAAUAUAUAAUUUCCUCUUAUAUUUUAAUAUGUGGAUACCGCUGGAAUAGCUGGUAAUCUCUGAACUCAAAAACUAUUUCCUUUCGGUUGGAGUUUUUAGAAAGACAUUAAUGUCAUGUGUGUGUCGUAAACGACAUAUCUCAGUCAUAGGUUCGAAUGAUUGACCAAAAAUAUCCCUAGCUCCACUCAAUUGAGUUUUUUUCUAAUAAAUUUAUUCAUGAAAAUGUUUGUUUACUAUUAGAAUUGAAGUUGAUUUCAAACAAAUUGUUUACUAAUUCACCUCAACGGAAUCAAAUUUAGCUUGAUUACUAAAUUGUCCUUAUUCUACAUAAAUUAGUUUUUCAUCCUGAUAUUAGUAAAGUUUUAAUUUAUUUAACAUAUAUUAAUCAAAUUUGUCUUUAUAAAAUAGGGGAAGAAUGUGGCAACCUAUACCUAAUUUUACGAUUUUAUAAAUUUUAAAAGAGUGAUUUGAUGAAAAUGUCCUAGAGCCAAGAAUUUUGACUUUCUUUAGCGUAUUUGUAUAGUAAUCAAUGAUAUGAACGUGUGUGCACAAGCGGAAUCGAUUUUGGAGUUACGAUUGAGAUUUUACAGACUUACGAACGCAAAAGGCAAUUUCGUAAUCACAGCACCACCACACAUUUGGGACCUAUCCCUUCCAGAUCUUUGGGACCUAUCCCUUACUGCCACCUCACCUUGUCUCUCUUGGCCCUUUCUUCCCUCAACUCCCUUCCUCUCUCUACUCUCUCGUCCCUCAACUCAUUGUCACUCUCUCACCAAGCACCCCAAAACCAUAACCACAACACCACCACUCGCCACUCCCUCCGACAAGCAUCACAACCCGUACUAUAGAUGAAAACCCGAGCUUCUAGACUAAGAUUUCACUCUCUGCACAGUAGCAGAGGUCGAUAUUCAUCCCUUUCGCGAUGGACCACGGGCGAACUCUUGACCAUCUCUGGCUAGCUAAGGAUCGAGCAUCUUUAAAUCAUGUUUUUAUCCUCGUUUUGGAUUGUUUUCUGAGUUAUUGGUAUGAGUUGGCGAUGAUUUGGUGCAAGAAACAACGCGGGGGGAAAGCUCCCAGUUUUUUGGUGGAGAUCUCACAACUUCAACCCCUUUUUCAGGCCAACUCCGGCCACGGCCGAGGAACCCAAUGGUACAUUUCAAAUCUUUGUUCCUAGAUCUUCGAUUUGGUAUAUUGGGUGAUUAGGUUUAGUGAAGAUCUGUGGUUGAUCGAUCCUUGUUUUGUUCCCCGGCCGAGUUUUUCCAAAAACCGGUGACCAGAUUUAAAAAAAAUAAAAGAAAAAAUAAAAGCCUUAAGCCCAAACCUAGCCCAAACCUUUGGGUCGUUGACCCAUGACCCAUAACCCAGAUCCGUGGGCCAGAUCCAGCCUAGAUCCAUUUAUGAAAUUGGAGGGAAUAUUCCCUUAAAAUAUUACGUUAACUUCCAGUUAACUUUAACAUAAUAUAUCUGAGGAUGAAAUAUUCUGUUAAAGUUAACUGUUGAUCGUUAGUUGACUUUUUUUAAAUUUUCUCGAAAACCCUCAUAGGCUAAUUUUGACACCCCAAGUCCCUUUUAUACAUCUAUUUAGCGAAAUUUUCAAAUUUUAACAUAGUUGAUUGCCUGGGCGAAUCGGUUGACCUUUUAAGGUUGACGGUUAACUUUUCGUUGACUUUUUACGAAAAUUACCCAGGACCAUUUUUAUCGUAUUGCGACGCACUGAUUCUGAAUCCAUCGUCCGUUUAUCCAAAUUCAAACGUUUUAAUUGAGUUUUACUAAUGGGUCUCAAUAUUAUGCUUAAGUGCGAUUACUAUCGAAUACUUCAUCUAUCGUAGUUCGAACAGCUGCGACCUCACAAGUAUCUGUAAGUAGGUCUAUAUAUAUAUAUAUAUACACAUACAUAAAUACAUAUAUAUUUUUUGUUUCCAUAUAUACAUCUAAUAAUGACUUUUAUAUAUGAUUGUCGUAAUUAAAUUAACAUUUAUAGGAAAUUACAUGACGGUGAGAAUUAGGAAUUCACUAUAAAUCUUACGGGAUGCCUUAAUUAAUUUUAUGGCUAUGAAUAAUAUUAUGUUGACUAGAAUUAUCGAAUCAUUGCGGCUUGACUAUAUUUAUGUUAUCUGCUCAUCGUUUGCUGCAUCGGUGUUAGUACUUGCCCGGGUCAGGGUCAGUCUUACACUUGUAUAUGUACAUCGCACCGUAUGCUCACUUUGGAUCCAUUGUAAGUGUCAGUCCUGUCCUAAAUUGCUAUAGGCAAUUAGGACUCAUAUGUGCUACGCAUAGCACCAGUCUAGUACUAGAGUGUAUAUCAUUGUUACACCCAGUCCUGUUCAUGUCAGAAUAUCUCUACAUGAACUCGUGUGUCAGCAUGUAUCGAUGAGCACUCGAUAUGAUAUGUUUGCUUAUGCAAGAUUAUAUGAUUACGAACGUCAUGUGCUUACUUACGAAAUAUUGUGCCAUAUUGAAUUCUUGACAUUUUGCAAGUUACGAUAAGUAUUUUCUUACUAUACGCAGUAUGUAUAUUUUGGAAACUGUACUUGUUUUACAGCUAUGUAUAUUUUGGAAACUAUACUUGUUUUACGGCGAGAGGUUAUUAUGUUUUCGAAAAGGUUUUUUAUAAAACUUUAUUUUUAAGUCCACUCACCCUUGUUUUUCACCCCUCCAAGUUUUAGUGCUGAGUUUUCGCUUCGAUGAUGAUUCUUGGCAAAUCUUGGUAUAAGUGGUUACCUUCGAUGGUAUAAUUUUCAUCCUACUUUACCGUACUUUACUUAUACUUUGACAUCACGUGCAAAAUGAGUUUAUUCCCACUCACAUGAGCACUCUUGUAUUAGGCACUUUUAGGUUUAAAUUUAUUCACAUUUUCCACAUCACCACACUUUAUGGCUUCGUCACCCUUCUGAUAUCGGCCAACACAAUUCGAUUCGGAGUCAAGGUAGACCUUCCGGGUUGAGAUGUGUCAAAGAAAGUUUUUCUAUCGACAAUAAUUGAAAAAAAAAUUUAACAUAAAAGUAAAAGUAAAUCGAAAAAACCAUAGCAACAAACAAAGGUGUUGAAUAUAAGUCCCACAUUAGGUAAUUGGGAAACUAAAAUAUAAGAUAUAAGUGUAUGGUUUCACUCCCAAUAACACUGAGGCCUUUUGCGGUAAAACACAACACCUAGCAAUAUAUAGGUGGUUGAGUUGGGACAAUAUCAGAGUGGUUAGAAGUGGACCAAUUACCCGUCUCUCUAAAUAUUUGACAUGGUAUCAGAGCAUGUUUGAUUGUGGGUCUUGUGGGUCCAUAUCAUGCCCGAGUUACCGGGCCAUUCAAGAAUUCAACUCCGGCAAUAUCAGGAGUCAGAUUCCUGUUAUGGGGUGGGAUCCAACCGAAUUUUGAUUCCUACAUCAUCAAUAAACACUUGAAUUGAUUGAAUCUGUGCAAUUCCAUCUCCGUCCAUUCUAUUCCUCAUUAGUAAACGAGCCAUGAAUUUAUCAGGAACAUAUUCAUAUCUAAGAGCACCUGAUGCUUUUAUUCUAUUUUAAUUUAUUUUUAUAGUUAUUGUCUAAUUAUUGUAUCAGUAUUAAGCAAAAACUACUUAUAUGGGGUUCAAAGCUCUUCACUUCUUUCAGUUCAUCCAUCAUUAUUGGUGAACUCAAACUUCAUAGGUUAAUAAAGAAAUAAAUAGUAACAAGCAAAAUACACUACAACAAAAAGGGCCAAUGCGCACAAUAAAUUAUUUGUGCCCUUUGAGGCCAAAAAGCACCAACAAUUGUGCUAAUAGACCAAUACCAACAGUGCAGCAACUAUCUUUGUGUAUGUGCCCUCUAUGGGCGUCACCAUUGAUCAAUGGGCACCAAUAGUUUUUUGUGCUCAGAGAGGUGAACACAAAUAAGGGUCUUUUUGUGCCGUUUCUCUGACAAGGUUGUCAGAUCACUUUUUUUCCAUCCAUGAUGGCACUUCAUAUUGUAAUUGUGCCAAUAUGAAUUAAAUAUUAAAAAAAAUCAAAGUUUGAAACUAAAAUUAAGGAAAUGAAAAUUUUUAAUUUUCUUAAAAUGAAAAGACCUACAACACAUUCCCAAUCUCACAUACAUAAUGUAAUGUUACAUAUUUUAUCUCUAAUACAAUAAAACUUGAAAGCACAUAUUUUUGGACAAAUGCAGUUUCCCCAGCAACCCUUGCACCUCAUCAUAAGCCAUAACAAAUAUAGUCGAAUUCAAAACAAAAUAAGUCCAAAAUUACGCCUAAAAAGGAGUUAGUUAAAAUCAAUACUUAAAAGUUCCAAAUCUGCCAUAUCAAAGAUUCACCCCUUUUCCCAACUUGGUGGAUAGUGCAAUCAUCUUCCUGAAAUCCAAAUGAACGUGAAAAUGAAAAAAAGAAAUGAAAGGACCUAUUUCCAAUCAUGUUCAAGGACCAAAACUUUCAAUCGGCAUUAAGAACUCAAUAGCAGUGAUGCAUUGCUACUUUGUUAUACCAAAUUACAACAUACAAAAUAUGCAACUAAACUAAGCAGCUAAACCAUCAUUAGUGCUAACAAGAUGUACAAAACAAUAAAAGUUUGGACAAUCAUUGUUAUGACAUUAAUUUCUAAGAAAGAAAGAAACUGCUAAGAACCUUAUAGGUUUGCAACACACAAGCUAAUAAAUAAGUAUUUUGAAUUCUAAUUUUCAGCUUUAGAGAAGUCUUUCAUGUUUCCAUACGGAAAGAUAAGAUUCAUGGAGCUGUUUAAUUUCUGAAGACUGCAGGUUUCCUCACUGUUUAGUCUCUCCUAAGAGCAACCUAAACACUUAACUACAGCUAAAAACUUGCAACAAAGCCCUCAAGUGGGUACUUGUAGGUUGUACCAAUGUAAUAUAUAGUAAGAAACAUACUCAUUAUUAGACAUCGUAGUGUUUUAAGGAGAGUGAAAACUCAAAUUCGAUCUUCACACUUCUGCAUGCACUUUUGUUAUCAACAUAACAUGAUCAUCAAGAAGUUAAAUGAAGAUAACAAAUUAAAUUUAUGUUCAUUUGCUAAUAAUGAAACAAGUAACAAACAUACUUCAUAAGUGAAGGUAUUUUCCCCAAUUGUCAAAGCCAUAGCUCUCCAGCAAGGCAUCAAAGAACAAACCUCUUUUCCUUGAAAGCGAAAACAGUUAGGAUUAAAAAGGAAAAAUUGACGACCAUGGUGACAGUACAAGAAAUCAGUCCAAUGCAAUGAGACAAAUCCGACAAAAUUCACUCUAAAUGCCACAUGAAUUUUAGUUAUUGAAAUUUUGAGAAAGACUGAAAAUUCAUCAUAAUGAAAAUAUGCUUAUCAAUGACAACGCACAACAUUGUAACAUUACAUUCAGAAAAUGGUUUUGAUUGGUUUUGAUAGGAAGCAUUGUAAGUUAAUCCCAAACAUUUAAUUCAUGCUUCCAAAAUUAACAAAUUCUACAACUGCAAGAGAAACCCUACUUAAAUAUCUUAAAUGCCAAAACCAAAAACUGCCCUUAUAUGCUGGAAGAUAAGAUCCUACCAUCUUCUCUGUAUUCUCCACCACAGUUGCAUUCCCAUAUCUGCAUUACCAACAACAACAACAACAAAGCCUUUUCCCACUAAGUGGGGUCGGCUAUAUGAAUCCUAGAACGCCAUUGCGC